UCUUUGCAUUCAUUAUUUUCGUUGUUGUUAUUCUUUUUGCUACUCUUGUGGAGUGAGAGUUCUUGUAAUUGGGCCUUUGACUUUGAUGAUUUGAUUAUCUUCUACUUGUGUUGUAGUGAACUUUGAGCUUUGCCAUGAGUCUUCUUGAGCUUUGCCAUGAGACUUGUUGAGCUUUGCCAUGAAUCUUCUUGAGCUUUUACAUGAAGGAUGUAGGGGUCAGGUUUUGGAAACAGCGGAUGAAGAUACAGUUAAAGUUUAGGUUUUAUUAUCUUUGCAUUUAUUAUGCUGAUAAAAAAAAUUUUGCAUUCAUUAUUUUCUUUGCUGUUAUUCUUUUUGCUACUCUUGUGGAGUGGGAGUUCUUGUAAUUGGGGCUUUGAUUUUGAUGAUCUGAUUAUCUUUUUAUACUUGUGUUGGAAUGAACACUUACCAUGGAUGUUUGUUACAUAUUGUGAAGCUUCAGGUUUUAUUACUUUUCUACUCACUAUUUUUCUUAUUUGCUCGAUUUGGAAUGUCUACAAUUUCUCUUAUUGGCUGGAUAGUUGGAAGGUAUUUCAUUGUAUGUAUCUUAGCAAGAGUGCUACGUUUAGGUCCUCCAUUAUCUACCGUUAUUGAUUAUAGUUUUCUUGAAUUCAUUGGGCUUACAGGAAAGCUAAGCAAUGAAGUGUGGUGUAGGAUGUAAAAAUGGUGGGUCGAAAUUCUGUGGUGAAGCUAAAUGUUUCUUUCACCAGGACAUUGUUGUGUUCAUCUGAUUUAAUUUUUAGCUGGCUCAACUUGUCGGUUUGAUUAUAAUCUUGGUUGUAACUUGUUGGUUUGAUUAUAAUCUUGGUUGUAUUUUGAUAAUGUAUGUUUCUAAGAGGCAUUGUGGGAUGAGAAUGAGACAAGUGCGGUUGAGCUUUACUCUUUGAUUUGAUGGUUUGCUUUUUGGUUUGAAAAGUUCUACUAUUUAAUUUUGAUGACUUCUCUGCAUAAUUCUAUAAUAUAGGUCUUUUGUUCUUUUAAUAAUUUUCCAAAACCUUUCGAUUCAUUAUUCUUGAUCCCGAACAUAUGGGUUGAGUUGUGAACUUCUUUGGAUUUUUUGCAUGUAACUCUUACGCUGAAAAUUUUGAAAUUAGUAUAAGAAUGAUCCUGAAAUUUUCUUACGUCAAACAAAUCUUGCUAAAGUAAUUUUCUUUGUUAUUCUAUUUCUCUACCCAAUCCAGGUGUUGCAUUAAUCCCUUUUCAGCAUACAGAACUGUGACCGAUCUUAAGUUUGUAUGCAACGACGUUUUUGGAAAUUUUGUGUCACAAACUUAUUAUUAGGACUUAUUACCUUGGUUUUAUCUGAUCAUUUUGGACUUGCUAUCUUCUUUUGUGGGUUUUCGUUUGGUUUCAAUUUUCAGUAAUGUCUGAUAAGUUGGCAGUAUUGGAUUUCCUUGUUUGCAUAUCAGAAACUGAACCAAUCUCAAGGCAUUAAGUUUCUAUAGUUGGAGUAGUAUGAGACGACUUUGUUUCUCUGAAAUUUAGACAAUCUCUUUAAUAUUUGCAUGGUAGGUUUUUUACACGAUGUACAAGUAUAUCCAGUUUUAUUUGGAUAUUUUUUAGCAACAUUGCUUUUGGAAUAGGAUUGUUUGAGUGCUACCAUGGGAAAGUUCAACUUGAAACGACAACAACUCAUAAUAGCCUAAUUUCUUCUAUAUGAGGUUUCACCUUUUAUUUAACUUCUAAGGACUUGAUCACCAACAUUAGGAUUGAAUUCUGAUUUGUUUUUCUACAGUGGUUUAUGAUUGGAUUCAAACAAUGUCUUUACAGGUAAGACAAGCAAUGGAUGUGCGAGGACAUGUGGAAACAUGGGGAUCAAUUGAAGCCUUAGUUUGUGUUAAUUUGUGACUAGCUAUUUGAGUGCAGUAUUUUAUUUGGUGACAAAGAUCUAUCAAAAUAAAAAAAAAUUGGUUCAGGAUUUCCUCUCUAUUUGAUAUUUUCAGAUUUGAUCACCAAAUAUAAGGAUUUUCCGUUGUCAUUUGUUUCUCUGCAGUGAUGUUUGCAUUAUGUUUCAUGCUACGUCUAAUGGAUCAUGUCUGAGUUUUUAUGGCUCUUGGUAACAGGCUUUACAAGGGUUUCAGAGGAUCAGUAAUUUCAGAGGUGAUACCUAUUAUCGUAAUUGUGUCUUACAGUGUGAAUUGUUCAAGUUUUUUCAUUAGCAAAAUAUUAGAUGGCUAACAUUAUUGUCCGUUCAUUUGAUCCAGUAAGAGUCCAUUCUAGAAAUGUGGACUUCUCUUUUUUGUUGAUUUUUAGAUUUGGAAUUGUUCAAGUAUCUACAGCAUGAUUUCCCCUGAAUUCUUGGUUGUUGUUUUGACAGGGUAGAGUUUGGGUUUUUGGAUUAGGAAUUGUUCAACUACCAACCAUGUGUGUACAAGUUUGAAAUAUAUGAUGUGUUUGUCAGAUAUUUUCUUGGGAUAUAUAUAUAGUUGCUAGUUUUAUUUUUUUAUUGAAUUACAUAAAUGCUUUAUUAGUAUGAUCAUUUGAUUAUGGCAGAGUUGUAGUGGUUUUUAUAAAAUUAUUCUUGGUAGUUAUAUAAUUAUUCAUGGUUGUUAUAUUACCUAAUAGUUAUUGUUGUGGGAAAAAUAAUCUAGAAGUCUUUUGUUGGCUAAGGGUUCUGGUAUCUUUCAUUUAUCAUAUUUGACUUUUGACUUCGAUGAUUGAAUUUUGUUGGUAUUUCUUCGACGAUUGAAUAUUUUUAGCAUUUUUUCGGGAUUGUUGUGCUUCUUACUAGUUCACUUCUUGACAAGUCUCCACAAAGGUUUUGUCGAAUUAUAUGAUGUUUGCAAUUCUUCGAUGUGCUUUUGUUGUAUUGUAGAACCCAAAAAUUAUUAGAGUUAUUAAGAAUUAUUAGUAAAUGAUCGAUUGAUGUGCUUUUAUCUGUCGGAUUACCUUUAUGUAAUGAGGCAUAAGGGUUUAAUUGGUGUUUGAAUUAUUUUUGCUUAAUGUCCUGCAUCAUCGCAUGGAGUAUGUUAUGAGGCACAAGGGUUGAAUUGAUGUUUGAAUUAUUUUCGCUUAAUGUUCUGCAGCAUCUCAUGGAGAAUGUUAUAAAUCAUAAUUGUGAUUUGUUUCUCUGUAGCGGUGUUUGGAUGAUUUGCAUAGUGUCUGCAUCUUAUGAGUAUGUAUGGUUUUCGCUUGGUGUCCUGUACCUCAUGGAGUAUGUUAUGAGCCACCGUCUCUCCCUUGGUUUUUUAAUUCUUGAAUUUAUCUUAACGUUCUAUACUUCGUCCUCUGUUACCAGUUAUAGUUUGUUUGUUGAAUUCUUGUUCUUUCCAGGGAUGUGUGGAAUAGGACAGGGAAACAAUGGCACGAUAUUCCUUGAACGGUUAAGCAUUAGUAUUUUUUCAUUUUUACUCUUACAUCAAUUUUUUCUUUUACAUUAAUUUUUAAGUGGCCAAAAUUUUUGGUUGGAUUUUAUUUUUUCUUCCUAGACAUAACCAAAUUCAUUAUGGAGGCCACUGAAUGUCCAAUUUUAAUAGAUGAUAAUGACAAAUGGAUUGAAUUAUGAUAUUGUCUCUUGGGAAGCUUGAAUUUAUGAUCAUGUCUCUGUGCACUGUGAUUUUAGUCACAUAUUGGUGGUCUCAGGCAUAGAUAAAUUGAAAAGAAGGAUCUUGGAAGUUAUUUCUUUCAUGUUAGUAAGUAGUGGUAAUUAGAAAGAGCUCAGGACUAUUUGGAAUCAAUUUUUUUAUUACAAAAAUUUAUUUCGUCUUUAUUAGUUUCCUUUGUUGACAAAUGAAUUUUGAACUUGGUUCUUGCAGAGCAACAAUGUUCUUGCCUAAUUUGUGUUGCCUCUUAUUAAUUUCUCUGGACUUGAUCACCUAAUAGUAAGGGUUGAUUUUCUUUUUGUCAGGUGUUGCAUAGCAUUGAGCCUGGUAUGACUUUCUCUAUUGGCUUUUCAUUCUUGAGUUUAUGAAUUCAUCUUCUCUUAAGAGCAUCAGUAGCUAAACUAACACAAUCAAUGAAUCAUUUGAAGGUAUUACAGUAGUUUUGGACUUGAUCACCCAACAUAUGGGUUGAAUUGUGAACUGGUUUCUCUACUGUAAUAUUUGGAAGUGUUUCUUGUAAUCUUCCUGUGAUGUGUCGAGCCUACGAGCGGCCCCCUUGGUUUUGAAUUUGUGGCCUCCCUUUGUUUUCAAAUUUUGAAUUUACCUUAACAUUUCUGUACUAUGUCAUGUCAUCUCUUUAAAAGAGAUUAGUUCUCUCGAAUCGCCAUGGUUCUUGAUGAGCUUUUAUGGAAAGGCAAUAGAUAUAUGUGGGCAGGUUUCAGAAACAGAACUUUAAGUUUUAUUAUCUUCGCUGUUAUUCUUUUAGCUAAACUUGUGGAGUGGGAGUUCUUGUAGACCAGCACUAUAUGAGUAUGAGAGGCUUUGACAUUUGUGUUGCAGUGACUUACUACGUGUUGCAAUGUCUGUUGGAUUGUGGAGACAAUCGCGGUAGAUUAUUGGACUUUCUGUGAAGCUUUAGGUUUUAUUAUGUUUCUAUUCACUAUGUGCUUGAUUUGGAAUGGCUGUAUUCUAUCUUGUUGGUUGAAUAGUAGGAAGCUACACGUGUCAGUCACUGGGUGUCUAAGCUAGGGCGAUACUUAAUUAUGCUUUAUCCUUGAUCUCAUGAUCUCAACUAUCUUUCAAAAUGUGAAUGUUCUCCAUAAUGACUUCAAUGUUUAGUUCUAUUUCCAAUAUAUGAGAAUGAAAAAGUAUAGUUUUCUCCCUCAAGGCUAUGAGCGACCUACUCUAAAAGGAAAGCUCCAACAGGAGAGCUCUAUUUACUUCGUUUGGAUUGGGGUCUCACUAUUUGUGAUAGGAUAUGGAAGCAGACUGUAUCUUAUUGCUAAUUAUAUUUCUCAAUCUUAGUCCCUUGCUGAUUAUGGUCUUUAUUAUUUAAUGUUUUUGGACUUGAUCACCUAACAUAUGGGCAUGGGCUGAACUGUUGUUUAUCUACAAUAGUAUUUCAAACUGUUUUUGUAAUCUUCUUCGUGCUCUUGGUUUUGAAUUGUGGCUUCCCUUAAUAUUUUAGAUUUGUGAAUUUAUCUUAUUGUUUCUUUACUUUGUCAUGUCAUCUUUUUAAGAAGAUUAGUUUUCUCAAAUUGCCAAGAGUCUUCUUGAGCUUUUACAUGAAUGACGUAUGGGUCAGGUUUUGGAAACACUGGAUGGAGAUACAAUUAAACUUUAGGUUUUAUUAUCUUUGCAUUCAUUAUUUUCUUUGUUGUUAUACAUUUUGCUACUCUUGUGGAGUGGGAGUUCUUGUAGUUGGGCCUUUGACUUUGACUAUUUGAUUAUCUUCUUCUACUUGUGUCGCAGUGAACACUUACCAUGGAUGUUUGUUGCAGUGAAGCUUUAGGUUUUAUUACUUUUCCACUCACUAUUUUCUUAUUUGCUUGAUUUGGAAUGUCUACAGUCUCUCUUAUUGGUUGGAUAGUUGGAAGGUAUCUCAUUGUGUGUAUCUAAGCAAGAGCGAUACGUCUAGGUCCUCCAUCUUCUACCCAGAUUGGUUAUAGUUUUCUUGAAUUCAUUGGCCUUACAGGAAAGCUAAGCAAUGAAGUGUGGUGUAGGAUGUAAAACUGGUGGGUGAAAAUUCUGUGAUCUGUGAAGCUAAAUGUUUCUUUCACCUGUACAUUGUUUGUUCAUCUGAAUUAAUUUUUAAUUGGCUCAACUUGUUGGUUUGAUUAUAAUCUUGGGUGUAUUUUUGAUGGUGUAUGGUUCGUAAGAAGCAUUGUGGGAUGAGCAUGAGGCAAGUGUGAUUGGGCUAUACUCUUUGAUUUGAUGGUUUGCUUCUUGGUUUGGCAAGUUCUUCUAUUUAAUUUUGAUGAUUUCUCUGCAUAAUCCUCGAGCAUAGGUCUUUUACCUCUUUUAUUAGUUUUCCAAAACUUUCGAUUCAUUAUUCUUGAUCACCAAACAUAUGGGUUGAGUUGUGAACUUGUUUGAAAUUUUUUCUCUUUACAGCUAUAAGACAAGCAAUGGAUGUGUGUGGGGACAAUGUAGAAACAUUGGCAGGGGAUCAUUGGAAGCCUUAGGUUUUCUUACCCUUACAUUUUUCUGAUGUGUUCAUUCGUGACUAGCUAUUUGAAUGUAGUCUUUUAUUUGAUGACAUAGAUCUAUUAAAAUAAAAAGAUUGGUCGAGGAUUAAAAUCCAGAAGUAUUUAGAAGUUCCUCUAUUUGAUUUUUUCGGAUUUGAUCACCAAAUAUAAGGAUUUUGUGGUCAUUUGUUUCUCUACAGUGGUGUUUGCAUUAUUUUUCAUGCUAGGUCUAAUCGAUCAUGUUGUGAGUGAAUAUCACUCUUUGUUUUUGAAUUUGUUAUUGUUUUUAUACUUCGUCUUUUUUAGCAACAAAAGCAACAACUGUGAGGUAGAAUGUAGACACCCUAGCACGUGAUCCAGUGAAGAGGAUCUGGAGAUCUUGAUUUUGGAUCUUUCGUAUUGAAGUUCUGAAAAUUAUUUUUUGUUUAGGUGUAGCAGUAUUGAUAAGAUGGAUCUUAAAGUUAUUCCUUUCAUUUUAGUAGUCGUAAUUAUUGCCUUCAUUCUUUGAUUACAGAACUUUUUAUUUUGUCUUGUUUUGUUUCCUGCAUCGACAAAUGAAUUUUGAACUUGUUCUUACAUAAUUUAUCAUUGGAGUUCAUGGUUUUGUCUUUGCAGGGAGGAAAUGGAGGGUUGGUGUAGGUUUGGGAAGCAGUGGAUCGGGACCCUGUGGAAAUUUAGGUUUUAUUGUUUGUGUUGAUUAUGUUCUUUGCUGCUAUUAUUCACAGAUAAACUUGUGGACUGGGAAUACUUACUUCUUUAUGACAGGCACUAUAAGUCUGCGUCAGACAUUUCUUUCAGCAACGGAGUCCUUUAAUAGCAAAGAGUUUCGUUUCCUUUUAUUUUCUUUGUUGUCAAAACAACCUUUGUUUCUUUUUUAUUUCUCAACUAUGGUAUUUAGUUUCACGGCGUUCUCAGAAUGAGUUACUUGAAUCCCUUGCUGAUCUUGUUCAAUCUCAGAAGCUUGUUAAUUUGGUCUUAUCAUGUAAUUUUUCUGGACUUGAUCACCAAACAUAAAGGUUGUAUUGUCAACCUGUUUCUCUCCAUCAGUACUUGGUAUUGUUUCUUGUAAUUUGCUUGCACUGCAUUGUUUGUAAUCUGUUAGGAUAGAGUUUAGCUUUCUUGAUUUAAUUCUCCAGGUUUCCUCCCGUCUUUUACAGGGAGAUAAUGGAUGCGUGUCAUAUGUUUGGGAAGAUCCUGUGAAACUUUAGAUUUUUUUUAUCUUUUGCAUUCAUUAUUUCUUUCUAGUUAUUAUUCUUUGGAUAAUCUUGCACAGUGGGAUUUCAUGCCUAAUUGUAAUAGGCAUAAGAGUUUAAGCAGGAUUCCGGUUGAGGAUUAAAAAAUAUAAAUUUCUCAAUCUUAGUCUAACUAUAUUUCUCAAUCUUAGUCCCUCGCUGAUUUUGGUCUUUAUUAUUUAAUGUUUUUUGGACUUGAUCACCUAACAUAUGGGCUGAACUGUUGUUUAUAUACAAUAGUAUUUCAAAGUGUUUUUGUAAUCAUCUUCGUGCCCUUGGUUUUCAAUUUGUGGCUUCCCUUGAUAUUGUAGAUUUGUGAAUUUAUCUUAUUGUUUCUUUACUUUGUCAUGUCAUCUUUUUAAGAAGAUUAGUUUUCUCAAAUCGCCAUGAGUCCUCUAGAGCUUUGCCACGAGUAUUCUUGACCUUUUACAUGAAGGAUGUAGGGGUGAGGUUUUGGAAAUAGUGGAUGGAGAUAUAGUGAAACAUUAGGUUUUAUUAUCUUUGAAUUUAUUAUGCUGAUAAAAAAACAUCUUUGCAUUCAUUAUUUUCUUUGCUGUUAUUCUUUUUACUACUCUUGUGGAGUCGAAGUUCUUUUAAUUGGGCCUUUGAAUUUGAUGAUUUUAGUAUCUUCUACUUGUGUUGUAGUGAACUUUGAGCUUUCCCAUGAUUCCUAUUGAGCUUUGCCACGAGUUUUCUUGAGCUUGGCCACAGAGUUUUCUUGAGCUUUGCCAUGAGACUUCUUGAGCUUUGCCAUGAGACUUCUUGGGCUUUGCCAUGAGUCUUCGUGAGUAGCCAUGAGUCUUCUUGAGCUUUUCCAUGAGACUUCUUAUGCUUUGCCAUGAGUCUUCGUGAGCUUUGCUUGAGUCUUCUUGAGCUUUGCCAUAAGUCUGUUUGAGCUUUGACAUUAAGGAUGUAGGGUUCAGGUUUUGGAAACAGUGGAUGGAGAUACAGUUAAAGUUUAGGUUUUAUUAUCUUUGCAUUUAUUAUGCUGAUAAAAAAAAUCUUUCCAUUCAUUAUUUUCUUUGUUGUUAUUCUUUUAGCUACUCUUGUGGAGAGGGAGUUCUUGUAAUUGGGCCUUUGACUUUGAUGAUUUGAUUAUCUUCUACUUGUGUUGUAGUGAACUUUGAAUUUGUCAUGAGUCUUCUUGAGCUUUGCCACGAGACUUGUUGAGCUUUGCCAUGAGUCUUCUUGCGCUUUGCCAUGAAUCUUCUUGAGCUUUUACAUGAAGAAUGUAGGGGUCAGGUUUUGGAAACAUCGGAUGGAGAUAUAGUUAAAGUUUAGGUUUUAUUAUCUUUGCAUUCAUUAUUUUCUUUUCUGUUAUUCUUUUUGCUACUCUUGUGGAGUGGGAGUUCUUGUAAUUGGGCCUUUGACUUUGAUGAUCUGAUUAUCUUUUUCUACUUUUGUUGCAAUGAACACUUACCAUGGAUGUUUGUUGGACAUAUUGUGAAGCUUCAGGUUUUAUUACUUCUCUACUCACUAUUUUUCUUAUGUGCUCGAUUUGGAAUGUCUUCAGGUUUUAAUUUUGAUGAAUUCUCUGCAUAAUUCUAUAACAUAGGUCUUUUGUUCUUUUAAUAGUUUUCCAAAACCUUUUGAUUCAUUAUUCUUGAUCCCAAACAUAUGGGUUGAGUUGUGAAGUUGUUUGGAAUUUUUGCAUGUAAUCUCCUCUGAGCCUAGACAACAAUGUCUCUUACUUUGAAUGACAUCAAUGUCUCUACGCUGAAACAUUUGAAAUUAGUAUAAGAAUGAUCACUUUUGUUGAAAUUAUUUAAAUGCUUCACUUUUGUUUCAACAAUCUCCGUAUGUGUUUCUCGUUCCUUGAGUUUUGAAAUUUGCAUUUAUUUGUUUGCAACACAUUGAGUCUUUAUUUGAGGUUUCUUUUUCAGUUUAUUAACUCAACUAGUGAUAGAAUAUAGUGGGACGACUAACAUGUCUAAUCAACCAGUUAUAGAUUUUUUUCCUUUUUUUCCUUUAUUGUUUAUUGAGUUGAGUGUUUUCAAAAUAUUUCUAUAACCACUUGGGAUUGAAAGUCAAACGUUAUGUGUGGCAUUAGAUAAUUGGACUUCUUUUAUUAGUUAUCCAAACCGUUCAUUUUUUUCAUAUUUGUUCUAUUUGGACAGGAAUUGUAUGCGAGAAAGAUAAUGGAGUUUUGGAGGUGAAUUUUUUUUAUAUUUGUUCUAUUAGGACAUGAAUUGUAUGCGAGAAAGAUAAUGAAGUUUUGGAGGUGAAUUUUUUAAUUUCAGUAACGACUCUGGUGGAAUUGUAUUUUGGAGGUGAAUUUGUUAAUUUCUGACGUUUUGGAGGUGAAUUUGUUAAUUCCAGUAUGAACGACGAACAAUUCUUGAUAAAGUAAUUUUCUUUGUUAUUCUAUUUCUUUACCCAAUCCAGGUGUUGCAUUAAUCACUUUUCAGCAUAUAGAACUGUGACCGAUCUUAAGUUUGUGUGCAACGACGCUUUUGGAAAUUUUGUGUCACAAACUUAUUAUUAGGACUUAUUACCUUGGUUUUAUCUGAUCAUUUUGGUCUUGCUAUCUUAUUUUGUGGGUUUUCGUUUGGUUUCAAUUUUCAGUAAUGUUUGAUAAGUUAGCAGUAUUGGAUUUCUUUGUUUGCAUAUCAGAAACUGAACCAAUCUCAAGGCAUUAAGUUUCUAUAGUUGGACUAGUAUGAGACAACUUUGUUUCUCUGAAAUUUAGAUGUCUCUUUAAUAUUGCAUGGUAGUUUUUUUAUAUGAUGUACAAGUAUAUCCAGUUUUAUUUGGAUAGUUUUUUAGCAACAAUGCUUUUGGAAUAAGAUUGUUUGAGUGCUACCAUGGGAAAGUUCAACUUGAAACGAUUACAACUCAUAAUAGUCUAAUUUCUUCUAUAUGAGGUUUCACUUUUUAUUUAACUUCUAAGGACUUGAUCACCAACAUUAGGAUUGAAUUCUGAUUUGUUUUUCUACAGUGGUUUAUGAUUGGAUUCAAACGAUGUCUGGAUCUCAUCGAGCCUUUAAUGAGUUGGUUUCUGAGUUUAAGAAAUCGUCUCAUAUUUUCUAAAAUUCCUCCCUUGAAACAAGUGUUUUUAGUUUUCUUGAAUUUUUGCUCUUUACAGGUAAGACAAGCAAUGGAUUUGUGAGGACAUUUAGAAACAUGGGGAUCAAUUGAAGCCUUAGUUUGUGUUAAUUCGUGACUAGCUAUUUGAGUGCAGUUUUUUAUUUGGUGACAAAGAUCUAUCAAAAUAAAAAAAUUGGUUUAGGAUUUCCUCUCUAUAUUGAUAUUUUCAGAUUUGAUCACCAAAUAUAAGGAUUUUCUGUUGUCAUUUGUGCUUCUUUAUUGAUGUUUGCAUUACGUUUCAUGCUACGUCUAAUGUAUCAUGUUGUCUGGAAGUUUUUAUGGCUCUUAGUAACAGGCUUUACAAGGGUUUCAGAGGAUAAGUAAUUUCAGAGGUGAUACCUAUUAUCAUAAUUGUGUCUUGCAGUGUGAAUUUUUCAAGUUUAUUCAUUUGCAAAAGGGAUCAGUUUCUCGUACAUUUUUGCAGAAGAUUAUAUGGCUAACAUUACCGUCCGUUCAUUUGAUCCAGUAAGAGCCCAUUCUAGAAAUGUGGAUUUCUCUUUUUUGUUGAUUUUUAGAUUUAGCAUUGUUCAAGUACCAACUGCAUGAUUUCAUGGUCUCUUAUGAUUUCCCCUGAAUUCUUGGUUGUUGUUUUGACAGGGUAGGGUUUGGGUAGAGUUUGGGUUUUUGGAUUAGGAAUUUUGAAAUAUAUGAUGAUAUUUUCUAGGGAUAUAUAUGUAUAUAUAUAUAUAUAUAUAUUUAGUUGCUAGUUUUAUUUUUUAUUGAAUUACAUAAAUGCAUUAUUAAUAUGAUUAUUUGAUUAUAGCAGAGUUGUAGUGGUUUUUAUAGAAUUAUUCUUGGUAGUUAUAUAAUUAUUCAUGGUUGUUAUAUUACCUUUGAUAGUUAUUGUUGUUGGAAAAAUAAUCUAGAAGUCCUUUGUUGGCUAAUGAUUCUCUAACAUUAUACUAAGUCCUUUUUUUAAAUUUUAUAGUAGUUGUAUUUGGCUUUGGCAAUUUAGUUUUGUUUUUUUAUUGAUUCUGAUUGUUUAUUAAAUAUUUAUUUUCAUUAGAAUGUUGAUGAUGUGAAUGAUUUCUUAUAAUGUUGAUUGUGAUUCUAUUUUAUAAAAUAUUGUGUUAUGGUAAUCAUUAAUUAAUUGCUUUCUAUGCACUAAUUUAUCAUAUUGUUGUAUGACAAAUCUUAAAGCCCUCUAAGAGAAAGGUUCCUGGGUUGCUCUGUGGAAAGUUCUAAAACUCGCUCACAAUAGUAAAUUAUGGAUCAUGUGCUUUUACACAAGAAUUAUUAGUAAAUUCAUGUACAUGAAUUCUUAGUAUAAUUCUCUAGUUGAUGAUGACGAGUUUUUAACCUUUCGCUUAAAUUCCUUUGCACCUUUUAAGCUUAUGGCUGGUUCACUGAUAUUUCUUUUGCCUAUGGAAGAUAUAAAAACCCCAUCAGCCAAGGGCUCAGCAUAAAGGAAAUCUUUUGAGUUUCCCUUUUAUUAUUAUUUUUUCUGGUAUUGAUGACCGAACAUAAGGAUUUACCUGUGAUGUGUUUAUCUGCAGUGGUGUUUGGAUUAGUUGGGUAUAUUCGCCUUGUCAAGUUUCUAUACUUCCUCUUAGCAAGAGCGGUUAUUGUUUCCUUCAAUAAAAUUUGGUAUUCGUGUUCAUUCCUUUCAGCAACUCAUGAGUCUUUGAGAUUUCUUUUGGCGGUUGAGGAACAAGAAUGGUUGUAGAUCAGGGUAUUCUAAUUUCUCUAUACUUGAUCACCGAACAUUGAAUAGUGAUUGCAGUAAACAUAAGGAUUUAAUUUUGAUUUGUUUCUCUACAGCAAUGUUUGGAUUUUUUUGGUAUAAUGUCCUGCAUCUCAUGGAGUAUGUUAUGCGGCAUAAUAGUUUAAUUGUAAUUUGCUUCUCUGCAGUGUGAAAAUCGCUUUCCGUACUGCAUCUCAUGGGGUAUGUUAUGAGUGACUGUGUCUCUCUUAAUUUUUUAAUUUAUCUAAUAGUCCUUUAUUACUAGUUAUAGUUUUGUUGAAUUAUUGUUCUUUACAUGGAUGUGUGGUAAUUAGCAAGAGCUCAGGACUAUUUGGUUUCAAUUUUUUUAUUACAAAACUUUAUUUUGUCUUUAAUAGUUUCCUUCAUUGACAAAUGAAUUUUGAACUUGGUUCUUGCAAAGCAUCAAUGUCCUUGCCUAAUUUGUGUUUCAAGAUUAUUGAUCUUUUGUAUUGAAGUUCUGAAAAUUCUAUUUUUUUCUUAGGUGGAGCAGUAUUGAAAAGAUGGAUCUAGAAGUUAUUCCUUUCAUUUUAGUAGUGUAAUUAUCAAGAGCUCAGGAUUAUUUGCCUCCAUUCUUUGAUUACAGAACUUUUUAUUUUGUUUGUUUCCUGCAUCGACAAAUGAAUUUUGAACUUGUUCUUGCAUAAUUUAUUAUUGGGAGAAAAUGAAUUGGUGGUGUAGGUUUGGGAAACAGAGGAUCAGGACCCUGUGGAAAUUUAGGUUUUAUUCUGUGUUUAUUUUUUUCUUUGCUGCUAUUAUUCACGGAUAAACUUGUGGACUGGGAAUGCUUACCGCUUUACGACAGGCACUGUAAACGUCUGUGUCAGCCAUUUAAUUUUCUCUUUCUAUUCCACACUCAGACAUUUCUUUCAGCAAUUGAGUCAUUUAAUCGCAAAGAGAGUUUUGUUUCCUUUCAUGUUCUUUGUUGUCAAAACAACCUUUGUUUCUUUCUUAUCAGCUAUAGUUUUUAGUUUCACUGCGAUCUUGUGAUGUGGUUAUUCAUUCGAGGAUUGAUGUGUUCUUUGGAAAUGAGGUGGUUAUUCAUUCGAGGAUUGAGUUCCAUUGUCUUUGACUUGCAUUGUUUGUGUUCAUUGCUAUCAAACAACUUUCUUCCUUUUAAAUGUAUGGAGUCUAUUUUUUAAUAUAAAAUCCCCACUAAAUGUUAAGGUUUUAUUUUUUUCUUUCUUUUUCAUCAUUUUCCUAGUUAUUUGUGUUUCUCAUAGGCUUGGUCUCAUCCCUUCGACUUGCAUUUUUUUGUGUUCUUUGCUAUUAAAAAACUUUUUUUUUUUUAAAUAUAUGGAGCCUUUUUUGCUACGUCUAGAUGUUGAUUUGUUUGCGUUCAUGCCUUUUUAGGUGUUGAUUUGUUUGUUUUCAUUCCUUUUUAGCAUGUGGAGACCUCAAGAACGGUUGAGGAUUAAAAUCUACAAGUGCUUAGAACGACCAAUAAUUCAGGAUAACCUAAUUUCACGAGUUUUCUUUCUAUUUGAUUUUUUGAGAUUUGAUCAUGAAGCAUAAGGAUUGAAUUGUCAUUUGUUUUAUGAUGCCUCUCUUUGUUUUGAAUGUCUUAUUGUCUCUAUACUUCAACAUUAUGAGCCGUUGUAGCCUUCCUGAAUUCUUGGGGUGUACAGUACAUGACAAACAUGCAUCAGAUGUUAGGUAGGACAGAUGUGAGUAUCCUUGAAGCUUGAAUACUGGCAGGAGAUCCUUGAAGCUCUAGGUUUUGGUAUCCACACAUAUUUUUUCUUUAACUGGAACUGGCUCUUUCAAUUUCUCUGGUUUUUUAAUUCCUUCAAUUCAUUAAUUCAUCUUAUGCUUUCUUAAAUUCUUGGUCUUUAUUACCAAUAUCUAUUUGAAUUUAAAUAUAGUUCUUAAAUUUUUUAUGUAUAGGUGUUGAUUCGUUUUUGUUCAUUCCUUUUUAGCAUGUAAGACUGGUUGAGGAUUAAAAUCUGGUAGUGUACACGAAAAACAAGCAACGGAUGUGAGGUAGGAUAUCUAAAUACUGGAAAGAGAUGCUUGAUUCUGUAGGUUAUCCAUACUCUUUGAUGACAGAUGCCUACUUGAGUUUGGAUGUAGUUAUUUAUUUGAUGACAAAGAUCUAUCAUAUGUAACUUUGUGUUAAUUCCUUUUCAGCAGGGGAUUCUGGUUGAGGAUUAAAAAACAUAAAUUUGAAUAUUGUUUUUGUCUGAUUACUGAAAUAUGUCAAAUCUAGCUUUUUGAUCUGUGAAUAUGUUGAUUCUUUUCUAGCAAAUAAUGCUCAGGGAAGAUGUCUCCUCUUUAUUUGAAACUUUGUAGAUUGAGCAUAUUUUUCCAGACUGAUAUGUGAGCUAGGAUGUGGAAACACUUGCCAGGGGAUUUGUGAAGCUUUAGGUUUUGUUACCCUUACAUUUCUUGUGUCUUUAUUUGUGACUGACUAAACUUCUUGUUUGGAUUCUAAGUUUUGGUUGGAUUCAUUGCUAACCUUGUAGUUUGACUGGCAGUCUUGCAGUUCUUGUGGGUUUAGAGGUCGUGUAAUUUGGGGAGGAUUUGUCUGGCAGAAUUUCUAACCACUUAAUAUGAAGUACUGAAUUAAUAAUAGUGAAAAAAAGAUAAAGAAAAUAUAUCAUGGUCAUUAAAAGUUUAUGUUUCUUGUUCUGUUCAGCCAUGCCACUUGUCAGUGAACUCUUGCUUCUUUCUCUAUUGCUGCAUAUGCAUUUGUGACUGACUAAACUUCUUGUUUGGAUUCUAAGUUUUGGUUGGAUUCAUUGCUAACCUUGUAGUUUGACUGGCAGUCUUGCAGUUCUUGUGGGUUUAGAGGUCGUGUAAUUUGGGGAGGAUUUGUCUGGCAGAAUUUCUAACCACUUAAUAUGAAGUACUGAAUUAAUAAUAGUGAAAAAAAGAUAAAGAAAAUAUAUCAUGGUCAUUAAAAGUUUAUGUUUCUUGUUCUGUUCAGCCAUGCCACUUGUCAGUGAACUCUUGCUUCUUUCUCUAUUGCUGCAUAUGCAUUUUUUUCGCAAUUUUUACUCAUUUUUUUUAGGUUGUCCAUUUCUAAGUAAUUUAGGCUUCUCAUAGCUUUUACGAGUCCUGGAUUUAUAGUGAAAUUUGACCCUUUUACAUGGAGCAAUUGAAAUUAAGGAGAGAAUUAUUGAUCUUUAGUUUUAUAGUACUGAAUUAAUUUUGGAUUUGCUUAGGUGUAGCAAAUUUGAAAGGUCAUUUUCUUAGUUAUUACUUCAUUUACUAAAUUAUCAAGAGCAUUGGACAAUUUGAUUUUGUAGUGUUUUGUUUGCUGCAUUGACAAAUGAAUCUUGCAUUCUAUUGUUUUUAGUAGUUUUGGAUUACAUUCUGAAUAUGACAUAUGAUGAUCUCUUCUAUCUUCCAAAAUGUGAAUGAUCUCCAACAUUAGAGUUGUAUUUAGUUCUAUGUCCAAUGUGAGAAUGAGAAAAUUGAGAGCUCUAUUUAGUUUUAUUCCAAUUAUCUCUCUAAUAUGAGAAUGAGAUACAACAGUAGUUGGAAUGUUUUCUUGCAAUCUUCCUGUGCUAUGAUUCAGUUCUCUCUCCAUAUAUAGAAUAAGAAAAUGAGAAAGAGAAACAAGAAUAUUUGUCAUGUUUUGUCGUAAUCUUCUUGCACUAUGAUUCGGUUCUCUCCCAAUAUACCAAUGAGAAAAUGAGAAACAACAAUAUUUGGAAAGUUUUGUCGUAAUCUUCUUGCGCCAUGAUUCGGUUCUAUCCCCAAUAUGCGAACGAGAUGAGAAACAACAGUGUAUGAGAGCUCCAUUUAGUUCUAUCUCCAAUAUGAGAAUUGGAAAACAACAGUACAUGAGAGUUCUAUUUAGUUUUAUCUCUAAUACGAUAAAGAAGAGAAACAAAAGUAUUUGGAUUGUUCUCUUUGUAAUCUUCGUGUGCUAUGAGCAACGCCUACCCUCGAGGCUAUGGUAACGGGUGAUGCCUCUCUAUUCCAACAUGAGAGCUCUAUAUAUUUCUUUCGGGUUGGGGUCUCAAUUUAUGAUACCAUGUGGAAGCAGACACCAUCUUUUUGCCGACUAUAUUUCUUAGUCUUGCUGAUUUUGCCAUGCUGAACUUGGUUUUCUUGAAUUGCCAUGCUUCUUAAACUUUUACAGUAAGGCAAUAGAUAUGUGGGGGCAGGUUUUGGAAACAGUGGAUGGAGAUCUCGUGAAACUUUAGAUUUUAUUAUCUUUGCAUAUUCAUUAUUUUCUUUGAUGGCUAAACUUGUGGAUUGGGAGUUCUUGUAAACAGGCACUACGUGAGUUUGAGAGGCUUUGGCAUUUGUGUUGUUAGGCCUUCGAUCCUGAUGAUUUGAUAAUCUGUUGCAGUGAAGACUUUAUGGAUGUUUGUUACCCAGUUACGGUACAUCAUUGGACUUACAUUUCCAUUUCAUUAUUUUUUUAUAUCCAUGAUUUGGUUGUGGUAUCUCUUAUUGGUUGAAUAGUGGGAAGGCACAUGUGACAGUAGUUGUGUGUGUCUAAGCAAGUGCGAUAGUUGAUUCCGAACAUUAUGAUCAUUGAAGUUACCCUUGACUAGUCUAUGUUAGUUUUUUUUAUAUGAUAUACAAGUACAUCCAUCCUUUGUUAACAACAAUCCUUUUGAAAUAGGAUUUGUUUAAGCGCUAGUUUCGGCACGAAUAUGCAAGUUCAACUUGAAACCAGUUCAUGAUAACCUAAUUUCUUCUGAGGUUCCAGCUUUUAUUAGUUUUCAUUCGGAGUAUGUACAAGUUUGAAAAGGUAUCAUUGUGUUGAUAUAUGCUCGUUUUAGUCUAGCUAUCUUCUCCCUUAAUUGUUACUUUGACAGGGUAGGUGUGAGGUUUUUGGAUUACAAAUUGUACCAACUGUAUGUAAAGUUUGAAAUAUGUGAUGCUUUGUCAAAUGUUUUCUAGGAGUAUACUUGUGAUUUGUUUAUCUGUAGCUGUGUUUGGAUGCUUUGCAUACUACAUCUUAUGGAGUAUGUAUGGUUUUCGCUUGGUGUCCUUCACCUCGUGGAGUAUGUUAUGAGCGACCGUUUGUCCCUUGGUUUUUUAAUUCUUGAAAUUAUCUUAUAGUUCUAUACUUCGUCCUCUAUUACCAGUUAUAGUUUGUUGAAUUCUUGUUCUUUCCAGGGAUGUAAAUAAUGGCAAGAUAUUCCUUGAACGGUGAAGCAUUGGUUUUUUUUUUACUCUUACAUCAAUUUUUUCUUUCUUUUGCAUUAAUUCUUAAGUGGCUAAACUUGUUGGUUGGAUCUUUACUUAAUUUAUAAUGGAGGGCCAUUGAAUGUCCAAUUUUAAUACAUGAUAUGACAAAAGGAUUGAAUUAUGAUAUUGUCUCCUUGAAGCUUGAAUUUAUGAUCGUGUCUCUGUGCGCUGUGAUCUUAGUCACAUUGGUGGUAUAGGCAAAUUGAAAAGAAAGAUCUUGGAGUCAUUCCUUUCAUUUUAGUAGAGAUAAUUACCAAGAGAUCAAGACUAUUUGACUUCAAUUUUUUCGUUACAAAACUUUAUUUUGUCUUUAUUACUUUCCUUCAUUGACAAAUGAAUUUUGAACUUGGGUUCUUGCCUAAUUUGUGUUGCAAGAUUAUUGAUCUUUUGUAUUGGAGUUCCAAAAAUUAUAUAGUCACAAGACUAUAAUUUCAUGAGUCUUGACUUUGCUAUUCUUAUUCGGAGGGUCUGUACUAUGUAUGUUUUGUCUUUUCUGUUUUAAAGUGUUUUUCCUUGUUUUUAUUUGUGUGGUUCAGACUGAAUAAAUGAGAUACCGAUUUUCUUGUUCUCCUCAUGUUACAUCAACCAUUUUAUUGCUACUUUUAUUCAUUUGCAAAGGCUAAGUAUAAUAUUAUUUCUUCAGAUUUCUUUGUACUUGAUAGUAAAUUUUUAGGUGUUGCAUAGCGCUUGAUAUGACUUUCUCUAUUGGAUUUUCAUUCUUGAAUUUAUGAAUUCAUCUUGUCUAGAUUCUAUACUUCUAUUAAGAGGGCCUCGUAUGACUUUCUCUAUUUUAUGGAUUUGGAAGUGUUUUUUAAAUUUAUAAAAUCUAGAACUCUUUUUUGGAUUUGAAAUAAGCCUAUGAAUUAUGUAAUCAUGAUUUAUUCUAGAUUACAUAAUUCGGAAGUCAAUCUCAUAUUUAGAAAAGACUUUUGGAUUAUGUAAUUCUAAAGUUAAUCACACAUCUUAAAAAAAGGUUGUUUUCGGAUUACAUAAUUCGAAAGUUAAUCUUAUGUAUAAAAAAGACUUUCGGAUUAUGUAAUUUGGAGGCUAAUCAUAAAAGGCUUUUGGAUUACAUAAUUUGGAUCUAGAAAAAGACUUUUGGAUUAUGUAAUCUGGAAUAUUAAAAAAUGGUAUUUUGGAAUACAAAAAAUUUAUGGAGUGACACAAGAAGGUACAAAGGUGCAUGAAGAAGCAACCUUUGUAGUUUCUAUAACUUCUAUUAAAAGCAGUGGUAGUUUUCUUUAAUUUUUGGGCUUUACAGCUAACCCGACCAAUGAAACAUUUGAAAGUAUGGACUUGAUCACCCAAUCUAUGGGUUGAAUUGUGAAGGCAAUUUCUUCUUGUACCAUAUCAAUUCUAACCUUCAUCUUAUCAUUUUUCAAAAUUUCUAAAAUUUUCCUUAUACCAGAUUUAAAAAUCUGGAAUAGUAAAAAUAAUUUAAAAAUAAAAAAUAUAUUUUGGAUAAAAAAAAUCUAGAACACAAUUAAAAAUGCAUUUUAGAUAAAAAAAAUUGGAAUUCAAAAAUGUGUUCUGGAAUAUUUCUGGAUAAAAGGUUUUGGAAGUAAUUUUUAUUUACACCCUUCUUUUUUUAAGGUUAUUUUGUCAUUUUGGAAGGCCAUUUUUGUAAUCUUCAAUACCAGGUUGGGUGCAUGUUGGAAUUAAUAUGGUGCACGGAGCAAUUGCCAACUGUGAACUGGUUUCUAUACUAAAAUAUUUGGAAAUGUUUAUGGUAAUCUUUUUGUGUUGUGUUGAGCCUAUGAGCAGCUCCCUUACUUUGUCAUCUCUUUAAGAGAGUUUAGUUUUCUUGAAUCCCAUGGUUCUUGUUGAGAUUUUACGGGAAGGCAAUAGAUAUAUGUGGGCAGGUUUGGAUAACAGUGAAGAAGGAGGUUCAUUAAACUAAUUUAAAUGUUAUCCUGAAAUUUAAUGUUAGGUAAACCAGAAACUAAAUCUUUAGAUUUCAAUUUAUUUACGUGAUUAGUGUGUAUGUGAGCUAACCUCCUGUGCCAUAGCCAAGACUCAUCACUUCUAGACAGUAAACACUCAUUUGAAGAGUCAGUUUCCAUGAUAUUCAAAAGAUAUAUGUUAUUCACUCUCUUACCAGUAAACAGUACCUUACUAAAUGAAUCACUUGAGAUUGUGCAGCUAUUUGACUUAAAAUUCACCUUGUAUCCUUUGUCACAAAGCAAAGUUGACUUAUGCUGAGAAGGCUAUGCUUGAGUCCUUCUACGUAAAGCACAUUCUCAAUAGUGGUUGAGUUCCCUGUUUCAACUGUGCUUCUGCCCAAAAUUCUUCCUCGGUUAUUAUCACCAUAUGUUACAUGUCCUUCUGCUUUGAGCUUCAAGCUAGUGAAUUUUGUAAGAUCUCCAGUCAUAUGCUUGUAACAGCCACUGUCCAAGUACCACUGAUUUUUCUUGCUGCCAAUCUGCAAAACAGAAUAAAAAUGAUACAAAUGGUACCCUUUUUAGUAUAGGGUCCAGCACAUAUUAAAACAUUCUCUUUGGUAGCCAUUUUGCUAAAUUCUUAGGAACAAGAUGCUUUCUAGCAAUGCAAGACCUAGAGAUAUGACCAGAUUUCAUGCAGUAAAAACAGGUUACAUGAGAUGCUUUUUUCCCACUAUUAAAAGUUGAAAAACCUGAUUUUGUUGGAACAAAAAAACUUGAAAGCUUUUUGACACUGGUUACAUUUCCAAUGGUAUAACCAAGUCCAUUUUUAUUGAAAACAACAUUCUUUGAGCCAAGAAGAGACUCAAGUUCCCUUAGUGAAAUUGGAAAGGGUUUUUAGCAAAUACUCCACUUGUUUUUCCAAUUUUUUGCAGUUUUCACAGGUUUUAAUAGAGGCAUGCAAGCAUGUUAGUUCAAGGUUUACCAAAUCUGUUUUGGCCUUAUGCAAUUCUUCCUCAAGUGUUUUUACUUUAGGUGCAAGCACAUUAUUUACCUUUUGCAUCUUAUUGCAUAUUACAGCUAGCCUAUUUGCUUCAUCAUGUGUUUCUUUGAAAGCAACAAGCAAUUGAUCAUAGUUAUCUGAAUCCACAGAAAAAAUCACUUAUUGAAUCAGAUAUUGACUCCUCAUCCUUCAUCAUGAAGCACAAAUUGUUUUCACCAUUCUCAGUUGAAGAGUUGCCGGUUGAAGAUACUUCAUUUUCCUCCCAUGAGAUGUAAGCUCUUCUUUUCGUCUUCAGGAAUUUGCUGAAUCUUUUUGUAAGAAGACUGAUUGUUUCAUCAUCUUCAGCAUCUUCUUUUUCCUCCUUGAUAUCAUUAUGUUCAGUUGCUUUCAAUGUAAGACCUUUCGGUUUUCUCUAUGUUAUUUCCUGCUCUUUGAGUCUCUUGAGCUCUAGCUCAUGCUCCAUUAGCUUUCCAAAGAGUGCAUCUGUUCCUAGCUUUGAUAGAUCACAGUUUUUAGAUAUGGCAGUCACCUUUGGUUGCCAGCUUCUGUCGAGGCACUUCAAUAUUUUUAUGUUGAGUUCCUCUCUGUCAAAUUCAUUUCCCAAACCAGUAAGGUGAUUCACAAUACGAGUGAACCUUUUCUGCACAUUAGCAAUGCUCUCCUCGGGUUGCAUUUUAAACAAUUCAUAUUCUUGGAUGAGAGCAUGUUUUCUUGACCUCUUCACAUCUUCAGUACUCUCAUGAGUGACUUCUAAGACUUCCCACAUCUCCUUAGCUGACUUACAUUGGGAUAUCGUAAAGAACUCAUCCAUUGUUAAUGCAGAGGUUAUGAUGUUCUUGGCCACAAGAUCAUGUUGAGCCUUCCUCCUUUCGGUCUCAUUCCAUUCAAAUCUUGGCUUUACCACUUCUUCAUCCUUGACAACCUACAUUGGCACAUAGGGUCCAUGAACCACAACUUUCCAGAUUAAUGCAUCAAUAGAUUCCAUGAAAAUUCGCAUUCUAAUCUUCCAAAAUGCAUAAUUCAUUCCAUUGAACAUAGGUGGUCUAUUAACGGCAGAUCCCUCAGCAAAAAGCACUUUAAACUCAUACAUUAUUACAAACAAACUUGAUUAAAAUACAAGUCCUAGCUCUUGAUACCAAUUGUUGGGAUUAAUAGUGUCAAAGUUCAAGAGGGGGUGAAUUGAUCUUUUAAAAGUUUCUCGCAGAACCAAUAUUUUUCACAGAGUACAAAAAAUAAAUCGAUUUAUUUGAAAUUGAACAAAUUUAUUUUAGCACUAUUUGUGUUUGAAAAACGUUUAGACAGUCAGGUUAAUUACAAGAUUAUGCAGAUCGAUUUUCCAGAUACACACACUGAUAUAAUGAAGAAAAACUAUUCAUUUACAGAUGAACAGAUUUAUUUUUCAAAACGAAAACAGAAAAAGCUUAACUAUUUAAAACUCAGUCGUUUUGAAAGGUAGAAGACUUAGUCAAAAUGCUUGAUGCACAAAAUCUAAUUUUCACAAGACUUAGCCAAUGUAUCAGUUUAAAAAAGAAUCUGUUUAUUUAGAAAAGAACAGAUUUAUUUUUAUGCAGUAAACGUGUUUUUUGUAAAAUAUGUGAAAAACAGUUUAAGAAACCUUAUACUUGUUCUUAUCACAUGGUCAAUGGUUAGGAGGUGAGUUACUCAGCAAAAAGCCUACUCUUAAACAACCUCUAAACACUACCUAAGACAUUCUUAAAACAAAUGUAAAUAUACAUGAAUUGUACACAAAAGUCUUCAUCAAACACAUGUCUUGAAGGGGCAGCAACCAUCUUCAACAAUCUCCCCCUGUUUGAUGGAGACAAAUCCCCAUAGCUCUGUCGCUUUAAGAACCUGUACUGCACCGAAUACUAAACCAGAAAAACAGAACAUUGCAUAACAUGUGAAAUGGUUUUAAGGUGCAAAAUUUAACUUCCUGUUUCAGCUAGCUUCACCUAGCAUGGUGAGCUAUUUUUCCCCCCCUUUGGAUUCAUCAAACAGCAUGUAAGCAUAGGAAAAAAAAAACAAAAACAUAACCAUAAUAGUCCAAAAGAUAAAGACACAUUGUUCAACAUUACAGAAUUUUAAAACUGAUAAAGAAAGCAUGAAAAUACUUCUAAUCCUUGUAGUAUAGCUCUGCAAGUUGUACUUGAACUCCUUCAAUUUGAUCAUCAAGGUGUUGAAACCUUGCUUGAGUGGUCUCAAAAUAUGCCCUUUGUUCUGCUGUCAUGACAUCAAGGCAAUGCAAAACUUGCCUUUCAAACAUGGACAAUGGUUCACCAUGGUAUUCUGGAGUUUGAUAGGCCACAAUGACAUUCAGAUGAGUGGCAACAGCUUCUUCAUGCAUUGAUUGGGGAGCAGGUGAGUCUCCUCUGAGUUCUACAGAUGGAGAGCUUGUCCUUUGAUUUCCAGCAUGUUCAACAGAUUGCUCUUGACCAUAGGAGUGAUGGAUAACAUAACAUGAAUGUUCUGCAGCUUGAACUGUGUCAUCCUCCAUGGGAACAACUUCAUCCUCAUCUUCAUUGUUGAGGUUUGAGGCUCCAUGUUCUGCUUGAGGGUUCUUGCCUUUGAGAACCACCCAAUUGUCCUCUACUUUGUGAAAUCCCAUCUUUGUGAGAGUUGAAUUGUCAAUCUCACUUACAGCCUUGAUGGGGUCGUUUCUCUCAUUUAUAGCAUCAACACCAAAGAAAUCAAUCAAUUUUGAAACAAAAAUAGCAUAAGGAAAGCAAUAAUCAGCCAACCUUUUGGAUUUCAGCAUGUGUUCAUUUAUAAUGAAAACCCAGUUUACCUUAAUCUAGUUCAUGAUGCAAUAUAGAAGGAUUAAAUCUUCUUCAUGUAAAACAACAUGAUUUGUACCACUUGGGAUGAGUUGCCAUGCUAUAAUGUAGGUAACAAGACGUGGUGUAAGGUUCAAAUGACUUGCAUGGAACCUGUUUAUGCUCUGUGUAGGGUUCCUCAUACAGCUCUUAUAAUAUUGCAGUUUGUUGAAUUCUUGAAUCCCACUGGUGUUUCCUUUUCCAACUUUUAGUCCAGCAUACUUGAUUCCAGCCAUUGAAUUCCAAACAUCACUUGUGAUCUUCAUUUUGAUCCUUUUUCACAUAAGAGACAAUGUUCUUUCCAUCCAAUGUUAGGUUAGUGUAAAACACCUUAACCAAAUCAAGAUAUACAUUACCCGUUAAUUCCAGCAGCUUUUUCAGUUUCUGGUGCUUCAACACAGCCCUUGUUUCUGCCAAUUUUUUUGAUUUUAGCCAGUUGAAAUCUAGCACCUUAGGUAUGUUAAUCUGCUUUCUACAUGUCUCGUGCAUGUAGGCAUUGAUACCUUCUUCAUUUCCAGCGAACCAACCUUCUAGCACACCUUGAAAGGUGGUUUGCUUGCCAUUAUUUUUCUGUUUCUGUCUUGAAGAAGAAGCCAUGGUUGAACCAGAAUUUUCUCUUGGUUUCAAAUGGUGAAAACGGAAAAUAGGUAGCCAAUGUGGGUAGCAAAUAUUCGCACAGAUUUAUAUUGAGAAAUGAAUAGGUUGAUAUGACAGUUAUGAGUGGAUAUGCAUGAAGAUUUUAUGCUCUGAAUUUGUGCAGAGAAUAUAUGCAACAAAUAUUUAGGGUCACGAUGCAUACAACUCAUACCUUCAUUGAGCACCCAAACCAUCAAAUCGGUUACAUAACCAUGACCAAAACCGUCAAAGGUACAAAGGUUAAUGCCCACUAAGUCAGUCAAUCAGUCAAAGAUCAGAAUUUCUCUUUCCUAGUCAUCAAUGCAUAUCAGUACAAAAAUAAACACAUUUAAUUACGAAUAAACAUAUUUAAUUUUUCACUGCUAGGCACAAUUGACAUUUAUAAUACCCAAUUCAUUAAGCAGAAAAUUAAACCUAUCCUUAGCCAAUGGUUUUGUGAACAAAUCAGCAAGUUGUAAAUCUGUACCAAUGAAUUUAAUCUCACAUGUUCCAUUUGAAAUGUGUUCCCUUAGAAAAUGAUGCCUAAUUUCAAUGUGUUUGGUUCUUGAAUGCAUGACAGGAUUUUUGGUUAAGUUGAUUGCACUUGUAUUAUCACACAACAGAGGUAUAUGGUUAAGUAAGAUACCAAAAUCAUUUAAUUGUUGUCUUAGCCAUAUGGUUUGAGCACAGCAACUCCCUGUUGCAAUGUAUUCCGCUUCAGUCGUGGAGAGAGCUACACAAGCCUGCUUUUUGCAUUGCCAUGAGAUCAAGUUUGAUCCAAGCAAGUGACAGGUUCCACUGGUGCUCUUCCUAUCAAUUUUGCAACCUGCAAAGUCUGAAUCCGAAUAUCCAGUUAAGCUUAAUGAAAUGUUACUUGGAUACCACAAGCCAACUUCUUUAGUUCCUUGCAAAUACUUCAAAAUCCUUUUGGCAGCAUUGUAGUGUGAUUCUUUAGGAGCAGAUUGAAAUCGAGCACACAUGCACACUGCAAACAUUAUGUCAGGCCUGCUGGCAGUGAGAUACAGUAGUGAUCCUAUGAGUCCUCUGUAUUUGGUUUCAUCAACAGAAAUUCAAGCUUCAUCAUGAUCCAAGUGACAACUUGUUGAGAAGGGUGUGCUGAUUGGUUUACACUUGUCCAUUUCAAAUUUCUUCAGCAGAUCCUUGCAGUACUUAGCUUGACUUAAGAAAAUGCCAUCCUUGAGUUGUUUGACCUGCAAGCCUAGAAAAUAGUUCAACUCACCCAUCAUUGACAUUUCAAACUCACUCUUCAUGACUUUCACGAAAGCUUCACACAAUUCUCCAUUGUUUGAUCCAAAAAUGAUGUCAUCCACAUAUACUUGUACUAGGAUUAUGUCAUCUCCUUUCUUCUUAAUGAACAAGGUCUUAUCUGAUGUGCCUCUAUCAUAGCCUUGAGAGGUGAGAAAAUCACUUAGCCUCUCAUNNNNNNNNNNNNNNNNNNNNNNNNNNNNNNNNNNNNNNNNNNNNNNNNNNNNNNNNNNNNNNNNNNNNNNNNNNNNNNNNNNNNNNNNNNNNNNNNNNNNNNNNNNNNNNNNNNNNNNNNNNNNNNNNNNNNNNNNNNNNNNNNNNNNNNNNNNNNNNNNNNNNNNNNNNNNNNNNNNNNNNNNNNNNNNNNNNNNNNNNNNNNNNNNNNNNNNNNNNNNNNNNNNNNNNNNNNNNNNNNNNNNNNNNNNNNNNNNNNNNNNNNNNNNNNNNNNNNNNNNNNNNNNNNNNNNNNNNNNNNNNNNNNNNNNNNNNNNNNNNNNNNNNNNNNNNNNNNNNNNNNNNNNNNNNNNNNNNNNNNNNNNNNNNNNNNNNNNNNNNNNNNNNNNNNNNNNNNNNNNNNNNNNNNNNNNNNNNNNNNNNNNNNNNNNNNNNNNNNNNNNNNNNNNNNNNNNNNNNNNNNNNNNNNNNNNNNNNNNNNNNNNNNNNNNNNNNNNNNNNNNNNNNNNNNNNNNNNNNNNNNNNNNNNNNNNNNNNNNNNNNNNNNNNNNNNNNNNNNNNNNNNNNNNNNNNNNNNNNNNNNNNNNNNNNNNNNNNNNNNNNNNNNNNNNNNNNNNNNNNNNNNNNNNNNNNNNNNNNNNNNNNNNNNNNNNNNNNNNNNNCAAUUCAUUUUGAUUUAAAACAGAUUUAAAUUCAUUACUGUCAAGAUCAUCAGCAGCAGUUUUAGAUAUGUUAUGAUCAGUUUCAUAAAAAACAACAUGCAUUGAUUCUUCUACUAUGAACAAUCUUUUAUUGAAGACUCUAUAUGCAUGAUCAUUCAAAGCAUAACCAAUGUGCACACCUUCAUCAGAUUUAGCAUCAAACUUACCAAGAUUUUCUUUGCCAUUAUUCAAUACAAAGCAUUUACACCCAAAAACUCUAAGGUGGCUCACACUAGGUUUUCUGCCCUUAUACAAUUCAUAUGGGGUUUUCUUAAGAAUAAGUCUUAUUAAGGUUCUAUUCAACACAUAAGUUGCAGUAUAUACUGCAUCUGCCCAAAAAUACUUAGGGAGCUUAGAUUCAUUUAACAUGGUUUUAGCUAGUUCCUCUAAUGAUCUGUUUUUCUUUUCAACUACACCNNNNNNNNNNNNNNNNNNNNNNNNNNNNNNNNNNNNNNNNNNNNNNNNNNNNNNNNNNNNNNNNNNNNNNNNNNNNNNNNNNNNNNNNNNNNNNNNNNNNAUUUGUUUACCUUUCACACAAGCAUCACAGAGCCUGUUAUCCUUAAAUUUAAUGUUAGGUAAACCAGAAACUAAAUCUUUAGAUUUCAAUUUAUUUAAGUGAUUAGUGUGUAUGUGAGCUAACCUCCUGUGCCACAACCAAGACUCAUCACUUCUAGACAGUAAACACUCAUUUGAAGAGUCAGUUUCCAUGAUAUUCAAAAUAUAUAUGUUAUUCACUCUCUUACCAGUAAACAGUACCUUACUAGAUGAAUCACUUGAGAUUGUGCAACCAUUUGACUUAAAAUUCACCUUGUAUCCUUUGUCACAAAGCUGACUUAUGCUGAGAAGGCUAUGCUUGAGUCCUUCUACAUAAAACACAUUCUCAAUAGUGGUUGAGUUCCCUGUUCCAACAGUGCCUUUACCCAAAAUUCUUCCUCGGUUAUUAUCACCAUAGGUUACAUGUCCUUCUGCUUUGAGCUUCAAGCUAGUGAAUUUUGUAAGAUCUCCAGUCAUAUGAUUGGAACAGCCACUGUUCAAGUACCACUGAUUUUUCUUGCUGCCAAUCUGCAAAACAAAAUAAAAAUGAUACAAAUGGUACCCUUUUCAGUAUAGGGUCCAGCACAGAUUAAAACAUUCUCUUUAGUAGCCAUUUUGCUAAAUUCUUAGGAACAAGAUGUUUUCUAGCAAUGCAAGACCUAGAGAUAUGACCAGAUUUCAUGCAGUAAAAACAGGUUACAUGAGAUGCUUUUUUGCCACUGUUAAAAGUUGAAAAACCUGAUUUUGCUGGAACAAAAAAACUUGAAAGCUUUUUGACAUUGGUUACAUUUCCAGGGGUAUAACCAAGUCCAUUUUUAUUGAAAACAGCAUUUUGUGAGCCAAUAAGAGACUCAAGUUCCCUUGGUGAAAUUGGAAAGGGUUUUUAGCAAAUACUCCACUUGUUUUUCCAACUUUUUGCAAUUUUCACAGGUUUUAAUAGAGGCAUGCAAGCAUGUUAGUUCAAGGCUUACCAAAUCUGUUUUGGCCUUAUGCAAUUCUUCCUCAAGUGUUUUUACUUUAGGUGCAAGCACAUUAUUUACCUUUUGCAGCUUAUUGCAUAUUACAGCUAACCUAUUUGCUUCAUCAUGUGUUUCCUUGAAAGCAGCAAACAAUUUAUCAUAGUUAUCUGAAUCCACAGAAAAAUCACUUACUGAAUAUUGACUCCUCAUCCUUUAUCAUGAAGCACAGAUUGUUUUCCUCAUUCUCAGUUGAAGAGCUGUUGGUUGAAGAUACUUCAUUUUCCUCCCAUGAGAUGUAAGCUCUUCUUUCCUUGCUCCUUUCCACUCUCUUGCUGGCAGAUUUAUCCUUUGAUUGAUUGUUUGGACAAUUCAUUUUGAUGUGCCAUGUUUUGCCACAGCCAAAGCAAGUAUAGUUAGAGGAAUUUAAAUAAUUAGGUUUUGGAUACAUUCUUUUCUGCUGGUUCCUAUUUCUGCUUUUCUUCUUCAAGAAUUUGCUGAAUCUUUUUGUAAGAAGACUGAUUGUUUCAUCAUCUUCGGCAUCUUCUUUUUCCUCCUUGAUCUCAUUCUGUUCAGUUGCUUUCAGUGCAAGACCUUUGGGUUUUCUCUCUGUUCUAGCUCAUGCUCCAUUAGCUUUCCAAAGAGAGCAGCAGUUCCUAGCUUUAACAGAUCAUGACUUUCAGAUAUGGCAGUCACCUUUGGUUGCCAGUUUCUGUUGAGGCACUUUAAUAUCUUUAUGUUGAGUUCCUCUCUGUCAAAUUCUUUUCCCAAACCAGUAAGGUGAUUCACAAUACGAGUGAACCUUUUCUGCACAUUAGCAAUGCUCUCCUCGAGUUGCAUUUUAAACAAUUCAUAUUCUUGGAUGAGAGCAUGUUUUCUUGACCUCUUCACAUCUUCAGUACCCUCAUGAGUGACUUCUAAGACUUCCCACAUCUCCUUAGCUGACUUACAUUGGGAUAUCCUGAAGAACUCAUCCAUUGUUAAUGCAGAGGUUAUGAUGUUCUUGGCCACAAGAUCAUGUUGAGUCUUCCUCCUUUUGGUCUCAUUCUAUUCAGAUCUUGGUACACUUGCUGAAAAACCCUAAACCUUUGUGAUUUUCGAAAUCUUUUAAGAACAGAUGUUAAUUCCUUGUAAAUCCUCAAUUCUCUAAUGCAAAACUUGUUUUUACAAUUGUAUGAUCGAUUGUUAAACUCAUAAACAAGUUUUCAUUUUAUAGAAAACCAACUUAUAACAAAUUUUUGAAAAACAGUUAAAGCUGUUAUAAAAUGAACAAAUUGAAAAUAAAAUGAACAGAUUUAUUUUCAGAAAGCUGUUAGAGAAUUUGUUAUGAGAGGAGACUUAGUCAACCAUUCUGGUGCAGGGACAAAACUGAAAACCGUUUAAGAUAGCCAUGGCACCAGAGUCAAAAAGAAUCUAUUCAUUUACAGAUGAACAGAUUUAUUUUUCAAAACGAAAACAGAAAAAGCUUAACUAUUUAAAACUCAAUCGUUUUGAAAGGUAGAAGACUUAGUCAAAAUGCUUGAUGCACAAAAUCUAAUUUUCACAAGACUUAGCCGAGGCAUCAGUUUAAAAAAGAAUUUGUUUAUUUAGAAAAGAACAUAUUUAUUUUUAUGUAGUAAACGUGUUUUUUGUAAAAUAUGUGAAAAAAAAUUUAAGAAACCUUAUGCUUGUUCUUAUCACAUGGCCAGUGGUUAGGAGGUGAGUUACUCAGCAAAAAAACCUACUCUUAAACAACCUCUAAACACGACCUAAGACAUUCUUAAAGCAAAUUUAAAUAUACAUGAAUUGUACACAAAAGUCUUCAUCAAACACAUGUCUUAAAGGGGCAACAACCAUCUUCAACAAUAUAUAGUCCCAACAAGAUGAUGUUUGAAUGUGAAAAAUGUCUCCAUUAAAUGUUUAUGAAUAGUAAUUAUAUUUCACUUUUUUAUUGUUAUCCAAAACAUAUCUUUGCUGUUUCUAUCCAAUAUCAAUUCUAUUUCACGCAACAUCCUUAUUUCUAGGUGGAAGUGUUAAAAGAUGUACUGACACACAAUUGCAACCAUUUCCCAACAUCAAUAAACAGUCAAUAAAAAAAUAAUUAUUUUAACUUUAUUUUUCAACCAUAUUAAAAAAAACAAUCACUUUAUUCACGAAAUUCUCCUGUGAAACUUCUAGAUUGCUUUUUUAAUUUAUGCAUGAAACUUCAUCCCGAAACCACACAUGUCAUUACCAUUUCUUGUUCUCCAUUCAUCAUUCGCCCCAAACAAAAUUGUGAAUCCAAACCUAACUCCAAAUUCUCCAUUCAUCCUUACCUCCCAACAAAAUUUUUGAAACCUAGCUAUGACACAAAACCAGAGUAUCUAAUUGGAAACGAACCUAGAAUAUGACCACAGUGUCAGGCGAGGCAACUCGACGCAAAAUGACAACAAGGCGACUAUUCCAUAACAGUGAGAAACGACAAGGCAAUAGUGAGCGAUGGCGAGAGAGACAAUGAAGCCUUAAGUGAAACACGAAUAAAAAUUGGUACAAAACAAAAUAAAUUUGAAAUUUAACUUGAGACUCGCUAGUUUGACUGGUUCUACCAAUUUUGGCUCGAGUUUGCUGAAAAAUGAGUUUGUUCAUGAGUUGACUUGUGACCCAAAAGUAGAUUUUUAAACUUGGACAAGUUAGCAAGUUGAGUCACGAGUUUGAUAAUCAUGUACUUGUAUUGUUUUCUUACGCUAUGAGUCUUUUACAAGAUUCACCUUUUUUGGAUGACACAUUAACUUUAAAUACAAUCCUUUUAAGGUCAUUACAAUGUUGAACAUGUGAAACUGAGAAACAUAAAGGGAAUCCCUCUAGAUCUUCAAGGCAGUACCAUUACCACCAUCAUUAUGUCACAAGUUGAGCAAUUCAUCUAUUGGAUUUUUAGAUUCUUAUAAAUAUUGUUCAUCAUUCUCUAUCCAAGUCUCUAAUUUACCUUUUAGUUUUAUGACUCAACAUGAGUCAUUUUAUGAGUCAUUUUAUUGACACUAGUCUCAUUUAGGCACCAAGUCAAAUUUUUACUUCUAUGUGGGAAGAUGACUCUAACGUUUUCUCAAAGAAUGUAUAUAAAUCUUUACAUUGAUGAUAUGUUGCUUAUCUACUUUCACAAUUGAUUAGAACCAGAUCAUGAGACAACUAUAACCUAUAACUCACUCCACACUUGUUAAGCAACUAUUUAUUCCAUAUUCUUCUAAUUUGAUAAUAUCACUUUUUAUUCAUCACAAACUAAAAGCAUUGUAAUUGACGUAGAGUCGAUUCAUCCAAUAGAUUAUACUUGGACCCUUUAAGGUAGAUAUCUCAAAUUCACUUAAAAAUGUUACACCAAAAUAAAUGUUAUUGUAAGAGUAUUAACCUAAAAGACAACUUCAAAAUCUACAAACAAACAUAUUACACUAACAUAUGUUCAAUAUCAAAUUACACACUAUAUAAAAAUAAUCAUGUAUAUAUUUAAAUGUAACUAACUUUUAGAAUUAACAAACUUUUAGAAUUAAGAUAAAAAAUUAUCUUGAUGUAAUAAUGAAUGUGCACCUUGACCACUUUCUCAAUUUUUUCUUUUUCAAUAAUUUUAUCUUCAUUCAUUAUAAUAUAAACAAAAUCUCAAAAAUUAUUUUUAAACUUUCAACUAAAAACUUUUAGUUAUAUUUAAAGUAGACAUAAACAAAUAUAUGCACAUGCAAAAAUAAUCUACUACUAGGGAUGACAAAGCAAGGCGGAUCAACCCGUUAAGAAAUAACACAGUGCAGAAGUACCGUUCAAAUAUCUGGGUCUGGAGGUGGGAGGGAACCCAAGAAAGAAGCAAUUCUGAGAACCAGUUAUAAGUAAGUUGAAAGCAAAACUCAGUGUUUGGAAGCGGAGAUUUUUAUCCAUGGCAGGGAGGAUAUGCUUAAUUAAUUCUGUUCUAACCGCAAUUCCUUUGUUUUACCUCUCUCUUUUCAGAGUACCAGCUUCGGUGUGUAAAAGGAUUAUUAGUAUUCAAAGAAGAUUUUUGUGGGGCUGGGGGAAACUAACCAAGCCAAUUGCUUGGGUUAGCUGGAAUGAUGUUUGUAGACCAAAAGAGGAGGGAGGGUUGGGGUGUAGGGAUAUACGCCUGUUUAAUCAAGCUCUACUAGCCAAGUGGAGAUGACAAUGUCUUUCGGAGGAGAAUGGAAGAUGGAAGAUGUUGUUGGAUUCUAAAUACAACCUGGGGGAUGAAAACAGUCAAACACCUGUCAAAUAUCAAUCUUGGUGGUGGAAAGACUAAAGUGUGCAAGGUUGGUGGAGGAAGAUGGUGGUUUCAGGAAGAGCUAGGUUGGGAAGUAGGUUGUGGUGAUAAAGCAAAGUUCUGGGAGGAUGUAUGAAUUGGUAGUGUCGAUCUUUAGUCCUUGUUCCCGCGCUUAUACUCUUUAUCUUUAAACCAAGGUAAAGCAGUGGGGGAGAUGGGUGUAUGGGAUGAUACGGAGUGGAGGUGGGACUUGAGGUGGAGGCGUGACAGAUUUGUAUGGGAAUCUUCUCUGGAGAGGGACCUUACUAUGCUUCUAUCAAGGGUCAUUAUGAGAAAGAAUGUCCAGGAUAUCCAGGUUUGGGGGAAGGAGAUACUGGGGCUGUUUUCGGUGAGCUUGGCGUAUGAGUGUCUAUCUAAGCAUGGUAGAGGGAACAAUGACGAAGUGUUUAAGCUCCUGUGGAAGGUGAAGGCCUUUCCAAAUGUUUUGGUAACAACCUGGAGGGUGUUUAAGGGGAGAAUCCCCACUAGAGUGAGUUUGAGCCAGAGAGGGAUGAUGUUGAACUCAACAGUGUGUCCCUUGUGUUUGCUACAAGAAGAGACCUGUCAACAUCUUUUCAUGGAUUGUAAAUAUGCUCAACAAGUAUGGUCCCAAUGCCUUCAGUGGGUAGGCAUUUCCUUUGUUGAGCAUCAUGAUCUUAAGCGGCAUUUCCUAAGUUUCCACUUGUUUUAAGAUAGUAACAAGCAGAAUAAGAUCUGCAAAGGGGUAUGGGUAUUGUUAUUAGAAGUAUAUGGGACCAAAGGAAUUUGAUUACCUUUCAGCAAGGGGUAGUAGAUGCAGAGGAGAUAUUCUAGAGGGCCCAACUUAAGUCUUGGUUGUGGCUGAAGCAUAAAGCCCGUUCGUUUUCUUACUCUUUUACAGAUUGGGUUUUUAACCCAAUUAUCUGCAUUAAAAGCUGCUAAUGUUUCCUGGUUUUGUGUCUUCUGAAGAAGCUGGUAUUUCUGGUUGGUAUCAUGUGAAGGUUAUGGUUCGGAUGGAACCUGUGAUGGUGAAGGAGUGAAUCCCUUAGGGGUUAGCUGUUGUUACCUGUAUUGGGGUUGGUCUUCAAGCAUUUUUUGCAGGAACACGAAGCAUCUUCAUAAAGGAGUCAUAACACGGGAACAACUGUUUUGUUGUGGCAGGGUGGUCUUCUGCAGUUUCUGGAGUCACGGGGCGUGCUUAGAUCAAGGUUGGAUGCUUUGGAGGGGAGCUGAGGUUGGGUUUGAGCCACGCAUUUCAGGGGGGUAGAGAUAGCUUGGUUGAGGAAUGUGAAGUUGUGGUAAUGACUAACCAAGGCGUUAAGCCGGGUUACGUGUAAAGGUGGACUGGUGGCUGGUUGGCUGGUUGGACUGCUAUAAUACGUAUGUGUAGGGGAGGGUCGGUGAAGGAAUGAAGGUUUCAAGUGGAGAGGGUGUGAUUAGAAGGGUGCCGGUUGGGGAGCAGCUUGGAAAACUGGUGAAGAAUAGGAUUUUGUAGGUGUUGUUGUGCUGUUCUUUGGAGUGCAGUUGGGUUUUGGGUGCUGCUAUUUUUAUUGUUACUAUCAUUUUGGUUCUUUCAUAAGUGUUGGUUUGGGUUUGGCAUUCCCUUUUGUAGGUUUAGGCUUUUUGGUUAUACUUUCUUUUGUGGAAGUGUAACUUUGUGGUUGUAGUAUACGGGUUGGGAUACCCCUUAAGUAUCCCCCUUAAUUUUAUUCAUUUAUUGCUGAUAAAAAAAAAACAAUGCAGGCAUCAUAUUUCAACUUGUUGACUUGCUUAGGUUCACCUCGCAUAACUCGCAGUCCACACGGGCCAACGGGAUAGGCUGACUCAUAACCCACAUAUUCUAAAAAAUUAUAGACUUAUUCAUUCUAAAAUUUAUAAUCUGUAAUACAAAAUUGUAUUAUAAACUGUACAAUCUAGACUAUUGUACAAUCUAUAACUAUAUAUAGCUGCAAGAAGAAACUUUCCUCAAUCCCUAGUUCAUAACACCUUCAUGAAAUUUUAUAAUAGUUUUUUUUUUCCUUUUUAAAAUGCAUAAAUUGUCUAGGUUUCAAUAUUCAAAUGUUAAAUGCACUAGUCAAACUUUAGCCUUUUUAUAAUAAAAUUUAAAUAUAAUAAUAAUAUUAUAUAUAUAUAUAUAUUUUAAAUUAGAAUAGUAAUCAUGUGUCUACCUGUAUUAUCUUUGAAACGUAUAUAUUUAAAAAAAUAUUUAUUAGUCAAUUUAUUAGUAUGAUCAAAAUUCAAACUUCAUUGAAAAUCAAAAUAUUAUUAUAAUUUUUUUAUCCAUAUUUUAUUACAUGUGUCGUGAGAAUAAUACUAUGAAACUAUUAUUACCUAAUUCAUUUAAAUAAGAAAAAAAAAUUAAUAAACAAAACAAAAGUUUAUUAAAAAAUUAUAUUUAAUUUUUUUUCAUUAAUUAAAAAAAAAAUCUUAUGUGGAUCGGCUCGUGGGUUAGCUAGCAUGCGAGGCGGGCCAAUAAAAGCAACUAAUAUAUUUUACACAGGACGAACCAACUUGGCCUGUAUUUUAUGGGCCAAAUGCAAGGCGGACGGACCUGCAUUACCAUUCAUACCCACUACCUUCAGGUUAUCCUAAGGACGAACAACUCUAAUACCAUAAAUGUAACACCCCCAAAUUUAUUGUACACUUAUUACAAAGUUUAUUGUAAUAUAAUUUCAUUAUUAAAAAACUAUAUAAAUCAUACAUGAAUUUAUACAUUAAGGAUAUUUAAUCCAUUUCUGCUCAAGCUAAAAUAUUCCCGCUCAACUUAAAAAAAAAAACUUUUUUUUCUUCUUGUCUCAUCAAUGAAUUUGAUUCUUUAGCAAAAAUAGUGUUAAAACACAAGUUUGAGUGCAUGGUUACUUUCGCUCGAGCAAGAAUUGACUUGUUGGAGAAAAAUAUCAACUAUUGCAAUAAUACAAAGUCAUUUUUAAAGUUGUACCUUAAAACCAAUUCAAACUCAAACAUUAAAAAUAAGUUCAACAACACACAACAUCAAAUAGGGCAUGAAGUGUUCACAUCACUCUUUAGUUUAUUUUAUUAUGCUAAGGAUCUGCCAAAAAUAUAAUUAUUUUUUCUUACGUGAAAUUCCUUAUUUCAAGAAAAAAUCUACCUCAAGCAAAAGAACCACUCAAAAUUUAAAGACCUAAAGCAAAAUAUUCAAACUUAAUUAAAUUUGAAUAAAAGGUUAAUCAAGUUGAUGAUCGCUUUUGGCAACUAAUUUUACCAAGAUGGAUGACAUAAUUAUAAGAAAAUAAAAAAUAAAGAAUAUUCAGGGUAAAUAAGAACUUAUCUUGUUUUGAAAAUCUAAUUAGAUAAAAAUAAUUUCUAAAUCUUUAGCUAUUGUAGGGUGUGAUCAAAAUUUAAAAUAAAUGAAGUGUGAAAAGCAGAAAAGUAGAAUGAAAGGUCAUGAAAAUGGCCAAUUGCAGUAAAAGAGAGUGUCAAAACAAGAAUCGUGAAUACAGAGAAGUUCAGAGAAAAAAUGAGGAGAAGCUUUGAGAGAGAGAAAAGAUGAGUGAAAGAGGGUUUCAUUAAUCAAUCUAUGAAAAUGUACAGUGUCAUGUGUUUUUACAAAAGGUAAAAGAAUAGGCAAUUUCUUCUUGCACCCCUACGUUUUUCUUCCUGCACCCCCACAAUGUAAUGUAAAGACAAAAAUAUCCCUAUUAUUUUUUAAAAAUUCCAAAAUACACAUAAGACCCACAAUACUCUUUCUUCUUCCGGACAAUGCAAUUUGGUAAUUUUAUGGAAUAGGAAAUCCGCAUUUAUUUUUUUGCAUUUUGAAUUGGGAAAUCCAUAAAUCUUCCGAAUUGGUGAAUCUGGUAAUCUUCCGGAUUGGUGAAUCCGGUAAUCUUCCGGAUCCAUCAAUCCGUAACAAAAAUUAGACUUCUGGAUUCAGUAAUCCAGAAAUCAACAAGUUGCUUUUGAAACACCCCUUUAUUUGAAAAAGAACACGAAUCACUUCUGGAUUGAUGAAUCCGUAGCACACUCCCGGAUCCCAAUAUCUGGUAACCUAAAAAACUCUAGUUUUUUUAAAAUAAAAGGUGAAGGUCAGUUUUGGGAUUUACAAAAUUUUGGGGGUGCAGGAAAAAAAUGUAGGGGUGUAGGAAGAAGAAGCCAAAAGAAUAUAGGCGGGUGUUUCUUCCUGCACCCCCACAGUCUUGUGCAAAGACAAAAUUGCCCUUUAAAAUUUUUGAAAUUACAAAAUUACCCUUGAUGUAAUAAAACCCUAAAAAGUUAAAAUGAUGGUCAUUUGUGCGUGGUGGCCGGCCGUCUUCUUCGAUAGCACAGGUCUUCUUCAGCAGCAAUCUCUUGCAAUAGCUUCUUCUUCCAAAUCUCAUCCAUCUCUCAUUCAUAAAGGUACAUUCAUGUGUUUCGGAUUUUGGUAUCCGUUUUUUUCAUGGAUUGUUGUUUCCGUAAAUAUUAUUUCACAUUCCAAAUCACAGAAUCCGGUAAGUUUUCGAAUUUGGGGAUCCGGUAGUUUCCCGGAUUUGUGGAUCCGUUAGUUUCCUGGAUGUAAGGAUCAGGUAGUAUUCCGGAUUUAGGAAUCCGGUAGUGUUCUGGAUUUAGGUGAAGUUUAACACCCUUUUUUCUUUCAUUUUCACCCAUGUCACUCCUUAGUACUAAUUCUUCAAGCUGUAAGAGAGGCAUCCACUAGUCUUGGAGUUGAAAUUAGUAAAGUCUUGUAGUUAUUGUUAUAACAUCUUUACCAUAUAUGCUUAUUCCUUGUAUAUUUUUCUCUGGUUAGUUUGAAGUUUUAAUAUUUAUUUCACUUUCCAGUUUUUAUAUUCCUUUCAAGGAAGUCAUGACUCGCAAACUCAUUAGUAAUCACAAUGUCGGUAAUGCAAGUAAAGCAUUCCGGAUUCAUGAAUCCAUAACACAAAAUACUGUACCGGAUCAACCCAUCCGUAAUGAAAUUUUAGCUUCCAGAUUCACAAAUCCGGAGAACAACAUAUUAUUGCAUUUUACUUCUGGAACACCCCCUCAUCCGGAACACAUUAUUUCAUUUAUUCCGGAUUCAUGAAUCCGGAAGGUAUUACCGGAUUCCGAUAUCCGGUAAUCCCGAAAUUUCCAUAACCACCGUGUUUCUUAAAAAAAACCUUUACUCUUACCUCUAUAACCCAGACAACAGUUCGGCAACGUUGUGUACUCCUCCGCCUUUCUUCCAACAAUUAUGAAGAACCUCCGCAACACUUGAAACCCAAGGAUGAAGAUGAGCAGUGACUGUGGAAGUGCUGAACGUUGCCCUUUUCAAAUUUUUGCUCAAGGUUAAUGUUGGAAUAUUGAAAAUUGUGGGGGUGCAGGAAGAAAAACGUGGGGGUGCAGGAAGAACAAGCCAAUAUAGGCACUAGUAAGAGCCCAAAAACCCACAAAGAGCCCAAAAACAGAAAAGAGAAAAAAUAGAAUAGCUGCAGUAACAGAAUAAUAUUCUAAUACAAAUACACUAACAGAAUGAUAUUUUAACAAAAGGAAAGAAAGUGAAGGCAGAAAAAAUUACAAUUAUUCUCAACAACAACAAAAUUGUAUCAUUCAGAAAUUAUAUUAUUUACAAAAAAUAUUAAAAUAUAAUUUCUUAUCUUUUUUUUUUCAUCUCUGAAUUGGAAUUAUGUAUAUGAAAUCUUAAAAAAACGACUAUAUUUAUAUUUUUAUCAUGAAAUUGCUUUAUUUGAAAAUCUAAAAUUUUAACAGACUUUUCUAAAAAUAUAUAUUUUCUUUUACUUACACUGAAUUAUAUUCUAAAUUAUAAUUGAAUUGUGUAUAUAUUUUUGUAGUUGCAAUAAAUAAAAAAUAUUAUAAUAGAAGAGAUCAAACAAAUUCUUAUUAAUUUUUAUGUAUUUGAAAUUAUUCUCUUGAAAAUAUGAUAACGACCUAUAAUUUAUGAGUCAAAUUUUUAUAUUAAAUCGUCUUUUUUACACUCUAAGAAAAACAUACUUACUAAAGUAUGAAUUUAAAGUUGUUCUUAUUUCAUCUGUAUAAAAUUGUUGCCGACUAAAACUGUUUUGAAAAUUGGAUUUACAAUUGAUAAUAACAGAUGAAAAAUACCUUAAAUUAAUAUACAGUAUAUUUAUUAAAAGAUCACCAUUAUUUAAUAAUAAAAAUUAUUUGUUUUUGAAAUAUAAAAAAAUCGAUGGAACUUAUAAUAUAUAACUAUUUAUAUUAAAAGUUCUUUUUAUGUAAAUUAUUUUUAUAAUUUAUGCUAUUAAUUAUUGGUGAGAUCAUAGUCUCUUUCCCUUAAAAAAAAUAAAAAUAAAACAUUAAGUGUGGAUGACAAUAACUUUUGUCCAGCUACAUUAUAUAAUAUUAAUAUUACCCAUCGCAUAUAACUUUAGUUUUAUUAUUCAAACUAUUUAUUUAUGACUUAAUUUAAAUAAACAUCCUCAUGAAAUUUCCCGCUAAGUGAGUUGGCGCCCAAAAUCCUCUCUUAUAUAUAAAGACAGUAACAGUGAACCAAAGAAACACAACAAAACUCUAAGUGAGUUGGCGCCCAAAAUCCUCUCUUAUAUAUAAAGACAGUAACAGUGAACAAAGAAACACAAUUUCUAGCCAUUCCAACUCUCCAAUUUCAAGCGUCAAAUGUACUCUUCUCUCUUCUGUAACUUACCAUCUUUUUGGAAAUCUCCAGAGUUGAAACCAAAUCCUACAGCGUGAAACUGAAACCCCGAUUGAAAUAUUAUGUUUUGGUCAAUAUCCAAGAUCAGUUUGUUGGUAUUGCUUUGAUGAUUCUCAAUAAGGUUUUGUGGAAUUACAUGAUGUUUGCGUCGUGGGAUAGAAGAGUUAUUAAGAAUUAUUAGUAAGUGAUCAAUGUGCUUUUAUCGGAUUGUGAUUCAUUUACGCCGAAUGUGAUUCUUUGUGAUGAUGGCGAGUUUUAAAUCUUUUUUGUCUAUGGAUGAAAUGAAAAACAUAAUAGUUCAGAAAGGCCAAUUGAUCCAGGUGUUGCAUAGCAUUGAGCCUGGUAUGACUUUCUCUUUGGCUUUUCAUUCUUGAAUUUAUGGAUUCAUCUUCUCUAGUUUCUAUAGCUUCUAUUAAGAGCGCCUAGUAGGACUUUCUCUAUUGGCUUUUCUUUCUUGAAUUCAUCUUGUCUAGUUUCUAUAACUUCUAUUAAGGGUGUCAAUGGUUUUCUUUAAUUCUUGGGCUUUACAACUAACACAACCAAUGAAUCAUUUGAAGGUAUUUGAGUAAUUUUGGACUUUGUCACCAACCAUAUGGGUUGAACUGUGAACUGGUUUCUCUACUGUAAUAUUUGGAAGUGUUUCUUGGAAUCUUUCCGUGUUGUGUCGAGCCUAUGAGCGGCUCCCUUGGUUUUGAAAUUUUGAAUUUACCUUAACCUUUCUAUACUAUGUCAUAUCAUCUCUUUAAAAGAGGUUAGCUUUCUCGAAUCCCCAUGAUUCUUGUUCGGCUUUUAUUGGAAGGCAAUAUAAAUGUGGGCUGGUAUCAGAAACAGUGAAUGGCGGUCCAGUGAAACUUUAGGUUUUAUUAUCUUUGCGGUUAUUCUUUUGGCUAAACUUGAGGAGUGGGGUUCUUGUAGACAGGCACUAUAUGACUAUGAGAGGCUUUGACAUUUGUGUUUGUGUCUUCGACUUUGAUUAUCUUCUUCUACAUGUUGCAGUGACUUUCUACAUGUUGCACUGACUUACUAUGGAUGUCUGUUGGAUUGUGGAGGCAAUUGCCGUAGAUUAUUGGACUUGUGAAGCUUUAGGUUUUAUUAUGUUUCCAUUCACUAUCUUAUGUGCUUGAUUUGAAAUGGCUAUAUUCUCUCUUAUUGGUUGAAUAGUAGGAAGCUACACGUGUCAGUCACUGUGUGUCUAAGCUAGGGCGAUUCUUAAUUAUGCUUAUCCUUUAUCUCAUGAUCCCAACUAUCUUCCAAAAUGAGAAUGUUCUCCAUAAUGACAGUAAUAUUUAGUUAUAUUUCCAAUAUGAGAAUGAAAAACUAUCUCUCAAGGCUAUGAGUGACCUAUUCCAAAAGGAAAGCUCCAACAUGAGAGCUCUAUUUACUUCUUUCGGGUUGGGGUCUCAGUAUUUGUGAUAGGAUAUGGAAGCAGACUGUAUCUUAUUUCUAACUAUAUUUCUCAAUCUUAGUCCCUUGCUGAUUUUGGUCUUUAUUAUUUAAUGUUUUUGGACUUGAUCACCUAACAUAUGGGCUGAACUGUUGUUUAUCUACAAUAGUAUUUCAAAGUGUUUUUGUNNNNNNNNNNNNNNNNNNNNNNNNNNNNNNNNNNNNNNNNNNNNNNNNNNNNNNNNNNNNNNNNNNNNNNNNNNNNNNNNNNNNNNNNNNNNNNNNNNNNUUGAUAUUUGUGAAUUUUCUUAUUGUUUCUGUACUUUGUCAUGUCAUCUUUUUAAGAAGAUUAGUUUUCUCAAAUUGCCACGAGUCUUCUUGAGCUUUGCCACCAGUUAAACUUUAGGUUUUAUUAACUUUGCAUUUAUGAUGCUGAUAAAAAACAUCUUUGCAUUCAUUAUUUUCUUUGCUGUUAUUCUUUUUGCUACUCUUGUGGAGUCGGAGUUCUUGUAAUUGGGCCUUUGACUUUGAUGAUUUGAUUAUCUUCUACUUGUGUUGUACUGAACUUUGAGCUUUGCCAUGAGACUUCUUGAGCUUUGCCAUGAGUCUUCGUGAGCUGCCAUGAGUCUUUGUGAGCUGCCAUGAGUCUUCUUGUGCUUUGCCAUGAGUCUUUGUGAGCUGCCAUGAGUCUUUGUGAGCUGCCAUGAGUCUUCUUGAGCUUUGCCAUGAGUCUUCUUGUGCUUUGCCAUGAGUCUUCUUGAGCUUUGCCAUGAGUCUUCUUCAGCUUUGCCAUGAGACUUCUUGAGCUUCGUCACGAGACUUCUUGAGCUUUGCCAUGAGUCUUCGUGAGCUUUGCCAUGAGUCUUCUUGAGCUUUGCCAUGAAUCUUCUUGAGCUUUUACAUGAAGGAUGUAGGGUUCAGGUUUUGGAAACAGUGGAUGGAGAUACAGUUAAAGUUUAGGUUUUAUUAUCUUUGCAUUCAUUAUUUUCGUUGUUGUUAUUCUUUUUGCUACUCUUGUGGAGUGGGAGUUCUUGUAAUUGGGCCUUUGACUUUGAUGAUUUGAUUAUCUUCUACUUGUGUUGUAGUGAACUUUGAGCUUUGCCAUGAUUCUUCUUGAGCUUUGCCAUGAGACUUGUUGAGCUUUGCAAUGAGACUUGUUGAGCUUUUACAUGAAGGAUGUAGGGGUCAGGUUUUGGAAACAGCGGAUGGAGAUACAGUUAAAGUUUAGGUUUUAUUAUCUUUACAUUUAUUAUGCUGAUAAAAAAAAAAUUGCAUUCAUUAUUUUCUUUGCUGUUAUUCUUUUUGCUACUCUUGUGGAGCGGGAGUUCUUGUAAUUGGGCCUUUGACUUUGAUGAUCUGAUUAUCUUUUUCUAUUUGUGUUGGAAUGAACACUUACCAUGGAUGUUUGUUGGACAUAUUGUGAAGCUUCAGGUUUUAUUACUUUUCUACUCACUAUUUUUCUUAUUUGCUCGAUUUGGAAUGUCUACAGUUUCUCUUAUUGGCUGGAUAGUUGGAAGGUAUUUCAUUGUAUGUAUCUAAGCAAGAGUGAUGCGUCUAGGUCCUCCAUCAUCUACCGUUAUUGAUUAUAGUUUUCUUGAAUUCAUUGGCCUUACAGGAAAGCUAAGCAAUGAAGUGUGGUGUAGGAUGUAAAAAUGGUGGGUCGAAAUUCUGUGGUGAAGCUAAAUGUUUCUUUCACCAGGACAUUGUUGUGUUCAACUGAUUUAAUUUUUAACUGGCUCAACUUGUCGGUUUGAUUAUAAUCUUGUUUGUAACUUGUUGGUUUGAUUAUAAUCUUGGUUGUAUUUUGAUAAUGUAUGUUUCUAAGAGGCAUUGUGGGAUGAGAAUGAGACAAGUACAGUUGAACUUUACUCUUUGAUUUGAUGGUUUGCUUCUUGGUUUGAAAAGUUCUACUAUUUAAUUUUGAUGACUUCUCUGCAUAAUUCUAUAAUAUAGGUCUUUUGUUCUAUAUAGGUCUUUUGUUCUUUUAAUAAUUUUCCAAAACCUUUCGAUUCAUUAUUCUUGAUCCCGAACAUAUGGGUUGAGUUGUGAACUUCUUUGGACUUUUUGCAUGUAACUCUUACGCUGAAAUUAGUAUAAGAAUGAUCCUGAAAUUGAAAUUGUUUAAAUGCUUCACUUUUGUUUCAACAAUCUCCAUAUGUGUUUCUCGUUCCUUGAGUUUUGAAAUUUGCAUUUAUUUGUUUGCAACACAUUGAGUCUUUAUCUGAGGUUUCUCUUUCAGUUGAUUAACUCAACCAGUGAUGGAAUAUAGUGGGACGACUAACAUGUCUAUUCAAGCAGUUAUAGAUUUUUUUUCUUUUUUUUCCUUUAUUGUUUAUUGAGUUGAGUGUUUUCAAAAUAUUUCUGUAGCCACUUGGGAUUGAAAGUCCAACGUUAUGCCUGACAUUGGAUAAUUGGACUUCUUUUAUUAGUUUUCCAAACCGUUCAUUUUUUUCAUAUUUGUUCUAUUUGGACAGGAAUUGUAGGUGAGAAAGAUAAUGGAGUUUUGGAGGUGAAUUUGUUUAAUAUUUGUUCUAUUUGGACAGGAAUUGUAUGUGAAAAAGAUAAUGAAGUUUUGGAGGUGAAUUUGUUAAUUCCAGUGAAAACGACGAAGAACUCUUGAUAAAGUAAUUUUCUUUGUUAUUAUAUUUCUCUACCCAAUCCAGGUGUUGCAUUAAUCCCUUUGCAGCAUACAGAACUGUAACCGAUCUUAAGUUUGUAUGCAACGAUGUUUUUGGAAAUUUUGUGUCACAAACUUAUUAUUAGGAGACUACGACUUCCUUGGUUUUAUCUGAUCAUUCUGGACUUGCUAUCUUCUUCUGUGGGUUUUGGUUAGGUUUCAAUUUUCAGUAAUGUCUGGUAUGUUGACAGUAUUGGAUUUCCUUGUUUGCAUUUCAAAAACUGAACCAAUCUCAAGGCAUUACGCUUCUAUAGUUGGAGUAGUAUGAGACAACUUUGUUUCUCUGAAAUUUAGAGAGUCUCUUUAAUAUUGCAUGGUAAUUUUUUUAUACGAUGUACAAGUAUAUCCAGUUUUAUUUGGAUAUUUUUUAGCAACAAUGCUUUUGGAAUAGGAUUUGUUUGAGCGCUACCAUGAGAAAGUUCAAUUUGAAACGACAACCACUCAUAAUAGCCUAAUUUCUUCUAUAUGAGGUUUCCCCUUUUAUUUAACUUCUAAGGAAUUGAUUACCAACAUUAGGAUUGAAUUGUGAUUUGUUUUUCUACAGUGGUUUAUGAUUGUAUUCAAACAAUGUUUGGAUCUCAUCGAACCUUUAAUGAGUUGAUUUCUGAGUUUAAGAAUUCGUCUAAUAUUUUCUAAAAUUCCUCCCAUGGAACAAGUGUUUUAAGUUUUCUUGAAUUUUUUCUAUUUACCGGUAAGACAAGCAAUGGAUGUGUGAGGACAUGUAGAAACAUGCGGAUCAAUUAAAGCCUUAGUUUGUGUUAAUUCGUGACUAGCUAUUUGAAUGCAGUUUUUUAUGUGGUGACAAAGAUCUAUCAAAAUAAAAAAAUUGGUUUAGGAUUUCCUCUCUAUUUGAUAUUUUCAGAUUUGAUCACCAAAUAUAAGGAUUUUCCGUUACCAUUUGUUUUUCUGCAGUGAUGUUUGCAUUAUGUUUCAUGCUACGUCUAAUGGAUCAUGUUGUCUGGAAGGUUUUAUGGCUCUUGGUAACAGGCUUUACAAGUGCUUCAGAGGAUCAGUAGUUUCAGAGCUGAUACCUAUUAUCAUAAUUGUGUCUCGCAGUGUGAAUUGUUCAAGUUUAUUUAUUUGCAAAAGGGAUCAGUUCUCCAAUAAUUUUUGCAGAAGAUUGGAUGGCUAACAUUAUUGUUCGUUCAUUUGAUCCAGUAAGAGCUCAUUCUAGAAAUGUGGACUUCUCUUUAAAAGCCUUUAGUAUGUUUACUAUCUUCAAAAGAUAUUUUUUCUGGAUCUAUUGUUUUGACAGAGCAGGUCUUCGAGGAAGUCACGGGUCUCUUAGAUUUGGAAUUGUUCAAGUACCAUCAACAUGAUUUCAUGAUCUCUUAUGAUUUCCCCUGAAUUUUUGGUUGUUGUUUUGACAGGGUAGGGUUUGGGUAGAGUUUGGGUUUUUGGAUUAGGAAUUGUCCAACUACCAACAAUGUGUAAACCCUAAACCCUAAACCCUAAAUAUAUAUAUAUAUAUAUAUUUUUGCUAGUUUUAUUUUUCAUUGAAUUACUUAAUUGCUUUAUUAAUAUGAUCAUUUGAUUAUAAAAUUAUUCUUGGUAGUUAUAUAAUUAUUCAUGGUUGUUUUAUUACCUUUAAUAGUUAUUGUUGUUGGAAAAGUAAUCUAGAAGUCCUUUGUUGGCUAAUGAUUCUCUAACAUUUUUUUUUUAAAUUUCAUAGUAGUUGUAUUUUGCUUUGACAAUUUAGUUUAGUUUUUUUAUUGAUUCCUGCAUCGACAAAUGAAUUUUGAACUUGUUCUUGCAUAAUUUAUCAUGGGAUAAAAUGAAUUGGUGGUGUAGGUUUGGAAAACAGUGGAUCUGGACCCUGUGGAACUUUGGUUUUAUUCUGUGUUUAUUAUUUUCUUUGAUGCUAUUAUGCACGGAUAAACUUGUGGACUGGGAAUGCUUACCUCUUUAUGACAGGCAUUGUAAACGUCUGUGUCAGCCAUUUAAUUUUCUCUUUCUAGUUCACACUCAGACAUUUCUUUCAGCAACUGAGUCAUUUAAUCGCAAAGAGAGUUUUGUUUCCUUUCAUGUUCUUUGUUGUCAAUACAACCUUUGUUUCUUUCUUAUCAGCUAUAGUAUUUAAUUCAAUGCGAUCUCAGGAUGUGUUACUUGGAAGUGAUGUGGUUAUUCAUUCGAGGAUUGAUGUGUUAUUUGGAAGUGAGGUGAGGCUAUCUGAAUACCGGAAGGAGAUCCAUUCUCUUUGAUGACAGAUGCCUACUUGAGUUUGGAUGUAGUUAUUUAUUUGAUGACAGAGAUCUAUCAUAUGUAACUUUCUGUUAGUUCCUUUUCAACAGGGGAUUCUGGUUGAGGAUUAAAAAACAUAAAUUUGAAUAUUGUUUUUGUCUAAUUAUUGAAAUAUGACAAAUCUAGCGGUUUGAUAUGUGAAUAUGUUGAUUCUUUUUCAGCAAAUCAUAGGUUAGUAACAAUAAAAUGCUCAGGGAAGAUGUCUCCCCUCUAUUUGAAACUUUGUGGAUUGAGCGUAUUUUUCCAGACUGAUAUGUGAGGUAGGAUGUGGAAACACUUACCAGGACAUUUGUGAAGCUUUAGGUUUUGUUACCCUUACCAUUCUUGUGUCUUUAUUUGUGACUGACUAAACUUCUUGUUUGGAUUCUAAGUUUUGGUUGGAUUCAUUGCUAACCUUGUAGUUUGACUGGCAGUCUGGCAAUUCUUGUGGGUUUAGAGGUCGUGUAAUUUGGGGAGGACUUGUCUGGCAGAAUUUUUAACUACUUAUAUGAAGUACUGAAUUAAUAGUGAAAAAAAGAUAAAAAAAAUAUAUCAUGGCUAUUAAAAGUUUAUGUUUCUUGUCCUGUUCAGCCAUGACACUUGUGUGAACACUUGCUUCUUUCUCUAUUGCCCCAUAUGCAUUUUUUUCACAAUUUUUACUCUUUUUUAAGUUAUCCAUUUCUAAGUAAUUUAGGCUUCUCGUAGCUUUUACCAGUCCUGGAUUCAUAGUGAAAUUUGAACCUUUUACAUGGUGCAAUUGAAAUUAAGGAGUGAAUUAUUGAUCUUUAGUUUUACAGUACUGAAUUAAUUUUGGAUUUGCUUUGGUGUAGCAAAUUUGAAAGGUCAUUUUCUUAGUUAUUACUUCAUUUACUAAAUAAUCAAGAGCAUUGGACAAUUUGAUUUUGUAGUGUUUUGUUUGCUGCAUUGACAAAUGAAUCUUGCAUUGUAUUGUUUUUAAUAGUUCUGGAUUACAUUCUGAAUAUGACAUAUGAUGAUCUCUUCUAUCUUCCAAUAUGAGAAUGAUCUGCAACAUUAGAGUUGUAUUUAGUUCUAUCUCCAAAGGGAGAAUGAGAAAUUGAGAGCUCUAUUUAGUUUUAUCUCCAAUUAUCUCUAAUAUGAGAAUGAGAAACAACAGUAGUUGGAAUGUUUUCUGGCAAUCUUCCUGUGCUAUGAUUCAGUUCUCUCUCCAUAUAUGAGAAUAAGAAAAUGAGAAAGAGAAACAAGAUUAUUUGGAAUGUUUUUUGUCGUAAUCUUCUUGCACUAUGAUUCGGUUCUCUCCCAAUAUGCGAAUGAGAAACAACAAUAUUUGGAAAGUUGUCAUAAUCUUCUUGCGUUAUAUGAUUCGGUUCUGUCCCCAAUAUGCGAAUGAGAAGAUGAGAAACAACAGUAUAUGAGAGCUCCAUUUAGUUCUAUCUCCAAAUGAGAAACAACAGUACAUGAGAGUUCUAUUUAGUUUUAUCUCUAAUAUGAUAAAGAAGCGAAACAAAAGUAUUUGGAUUGUUCUCUUUGUAAUCUUCGUGUGCUAUGAGCAACGCCUCCCCUCGAGGCUAUGGUAACGGGUGAUGCCUCUCUAUUCCAACAUGAGAUCUCUAUAUAUUAUGUGGAAGCAGACACCAUCUUUUUGUCGUCUAUAUUUCUCAGCUCUUGCUGAUUUUGCCGUGCUGUUUUCUUGAUUUACCAUGCUUUUUUUUAUCAGCAAAGAAUGAAAUUAAAUUAAGAGGGAUACAAAAGGGGUAUCUCAACUCUUUUACAUAAACCAAACCACAUUAAGAAUCUCCAAGAAUAAAGAGAUGAAUAAACACCACAGAAGCAAUAGAUAGAUAAUGUUUGUUGCAUAAGUUAAACAUCCUAUUUCAGCUAGCACCGUGCUUGUAUUGGAAUGCUAUAAGCACUGCAAACUGCAGCUACAAAACCAUCAAAAUACACCAAAAUUGGUUGUCUCCACCACCUCAUUGACAUUCCUUCUACCCAACUUGCAGUGGCACGAUUGUAGCACUUGUCACAGAAUUAAUCACUUCAAUGCAGCAUCUUCCAUUCACUCCUUUUUGGACUUUGGCUUCUCCUUGUUUGCUCCUUUCAAGCUCACUUUUAACAGAAACCAAGUUCCUACUUGCCAAGGUCUAUCUCGCACUUAGAUUGGUUGGAGUUUACAACUUCGAGUUACAUCCCCCAACAUGUCUGAAUCCCCACCACAACCUCUACUGCUACCAUCUACAUGUGAGACCACUAGUUGAUCAGCAAACACACUUAGGGAUUUCCACAACAACCAAAACACCACAUAAAAAAACACAGUUUUUGUUUCCUGCAUAAAGAACCCUGAACCAGCAUACACCUUGCCUCUAUUGGUCUGUUAUAAGACACAUCAAAACAGAAUCUUUCAUCAUGUCCUUAACAUUCCUUUUGACUCCCUUGCAUACAAGCACAUAUGUCCUUUCCAUCUUGCACUAGCUGCAGGCCGUGACAAACCCACCAACACCUCCAACCAACUAUAAAUCCAGUAUAGGUCGUAGUCUUAAAACUCUUGGCACCUGGGAGUACUAAUUAUAACUUCUAAUGCAAAGCAUUGGAUUAAGAAUCCAGUCUACGAAAGAAUAAGUAAAGAAAUGCACCUUGUGUUUCAUCCAAAGCCAGGAUUUGAGUUGAGCCUUCUGAAACACCUCCUCCGCAUCUACUAGCCCUUUUUUGAAUACAAUCAGGUUCCUUUGGUCCCAGAUACACCUAAUAACAGAUGCCCAAACACCUUUCCAUACCAGGUUUUGCUUCUUACUAGCAUUGCUCAGAUAAAAACUCAUAAAGUGCAUAAUUAAAUCAUUUUGUUGAACAGAAGAGAUACCUAUCCAUUUGAAGCACAAGGACCAUACCCAUUGUGCGUAUUUACACUCCAAGAAGAUAUGUUGACAAGACUCCUCCUUAAGCUGACACAUUGCACAUAACGUAGAUUCCAUCAUUACCCCUCUCCUACUCAAACUCACCCUUGUUGGGAUUCUAUCCAACAACACUCUCCAAGCUGUCACGAUCACAUUUGGGAAUGCCUUAGUCUUCCAAAGGAGAUUAAACACAUCGGAUUGGGUUCCACGAGACUGCUUGGCAAGGCACUCAUAAGCAGAAUUCACAGAAAAAAAAGGGCUGGUUCUUCCUUCCCCCACACCUGCACAUCCACGUCAUUCCUUCUCAUUAGUGCCCCUGAUAACAGUGUAAAGAGGUCUGCUUCCAGUGAUGAUUCCCACUCAAAUCUGGCACGCCUCCAUGUCAGCCUCCAUCUCCAAUCCGAAUUAAUCCACACGCCAACUUCACCCACCGUUUGCCCCUGUUUUAAGGAUAGGGAGAACAGUCUUGGAAACAAGGAUUUGAGAUCAGAGCUCCCAACCCACACCUCCUCCCAUAACUUUACUUUGUCUCCACACCCUAGUUUUCAGCUUAGUUCUUCUUGAAACCAUCAUUUUCCUCCUCCCUCCUUGCACACUUUAAAGAGAUCUUUCCACCACCAAGAUUUUCAGCUUAGUUCUUCUUGAAACCAUCAUUAGUCCAAUUUUAAUACAUGAUAUGACAAAUGGAUUGAAUUAUGAUAUUGUCUCCUUGAAGCUUGAAUUUAUGAUCGUGUCUCUGUGCGCUGUGAUCUUAGUCACAUUGGUGGUAUAGACAAAUUGAAAAGAAGGAUCUUGGAGUCAUUCCUUUCAUUUUAGUAGUGGUAAUUACCAAGAGCUCAAGACUAUUUGACUUCAAUUUUUUCAUUACAAAACUUUAUUUUGUCUUUAUUAGUUUCUUUCAUUGAGAAAUGAAUUUUGAACUUGGGUUCUUGCAAAGCAUCAAUGUUCUUGCCUAAUUUGUGUUGCAAGAUUAUUGAUCUUUUGUAUUGGAGUUCCAAAAAUUAUAGUCUACUCAAGACUAAUUUCAUGAGUCUUGACUUUGCUAUUCUUAUUCGGAAGGUUUGUACUAUGUAUGUUUUGUCUUUUCUGAUUUAAAGUGUUUUUCCUUGUUUUUAUUUGUGUGGUUCAGACUGAAUAAAUGAGAUACCGAUUUUCUUGUUCUCCUCAUGUUACAUCAACCAUUUUAUUGCUACUUUUAUUCAUUUGCAAAGGCUCAGGAUAAUAUUAUUUCUUCAGAUUUCUAUGUACUUGAUAGUAAAUUUUUAGGUGUUGCAUAGCGCCUGGUAUGACUUUCUCUAUUGGUUUUUCAUUCUUGAAUUUAUGAAUUCAUCUUGUCUAGAUUCUAUACUUCUAUUAAGAGGACCUGGUAUGACUUUCUCUAUUCCUAACAAAAAAAACUUUUGUCCUCAAAAUUACCUAAAAAAAUAAUUAGGAUAUGAUUCACUUGUCUUCUUUUUCAUCUCCCGCAUAUAAGAUCUCACAACACUUUGACCUUUCACAACACUUUGGCCUUGUUUACACUUUCAUUUCAAAAGAUGGAUUUUCUCUUACAUGAAUUAAAUCAAAUUUUGUGUGACUAACUUUCCUUUUGUUGUAUACCAAGUUAACCAUCCAAUCUAUUUUUCCUCAAUCUUAAACACACAAUUUAGGUUAGUCUUAUGUUUUUCAAGCUUCUAGAAUAAUAUUUUUGCAUAAAGGUUAUUGUCAAAAAUGUCUAAGACGAUGUUGAUGUAAUCAAACUUCACGAUCCAUGACUUGACUUGUUAUAAGAACUAUAUAAACAUAUGCAUGAUAUAAAUCAAUAUCAAUAUAGAAAUCUUUCCAUGUUUAUUGGAAAGAUUACCUUUAAUUUUUAAUGGACAUGAUAUGAUACUAACCUUUCUAACUCAUUUUGUUUUUUUUUAACAAUAUUCUUAAAUUCAAAAAAAUGUGUAAUUAUAUUACUCACCUAACUCUAACUCAUUUUGUUUUUUUCUUAACAAUAUUCUCAAAUUAAAAAAGUGUGCAAUUAUAUUACUCACCUAACUGUUGCGUCUCAAAAAAUGUAUUGUAUGUUUCAACACUAGAAUAUUAAUUGUAAAAUUGACUUGCAAUGCGACCAAGUUUGGUAAAAUAAAAGUUAUUUUUUUCAUUGAAAUGCAUCAUUUUUUUCCAACACUAGUCUUUUUAGGACUAAAAGUAGGAUUUGCCAUUGCUUCAUUUCUCCAAAGGAUUCAUCCUCAUCUUUAUAAAAAGAUAAAUAUACUCCAAUCAAGCGUAAACUUCUUUAACAUUAGUUACAUACCUCUUUCACCACUUUUAUCAAACUAAUGUCUUCUUUUUGGUCAAUUAUCCACAUAACAUCAAGCAUACCAUUCAUUUUCAUAUAAAAAUAUUUAGUUUUAUUUGUUUUUAAUAGGUUUAAAUAUUUUUAAAAUUUGAAUCAACCAAUUGCUUCUCUUUCACUUCUUUUAGAAACUUGUUAAGCAUAUGACAAAUAAUAUGAGUUGAAGAUAUAGGAAUUUCUAAAUCCUACAUUCUAAAUUCUAAAUCUUUAAUCAUAGGUGUUGACACUUGUGUCUUCUCAUGAAUUGAAGCAUAUGUAGCAACAUUUCCUAUCUUAGGAUGGUACCUCAACAAAAAAUUGUAAUCUUUCAAAAACUCCAUCAAUUUUCUAUUAUCUACUUUCGUUAUUUGUAGGAUAGGAAACUAAUUGUAUAAUAACACUAUUUCAUUUCGACUUAGCCACGUUCAACUAUUGUAAUUUUCUCCUAAGUCUUUGAAGUUUCACUUCAUGAUAGUAAAAAAUAUAUUUAACCACGUCUCUUUUUAUGUUCAACUAUUAAAAAACUUGUGUAGUACUGAUAUAUAUUAGUUGUGUCUAAUGCAAAUAUAUUUAUUUUAUAAUUUUUAUACUAUAUCAUUUUCUCCAACUUAUUAUUUGUCGAUACACAAACUUUAUCUUGAACCUCAGAAUUUCAUUUACUUUCAUUACGAGAUCCUUAGCUGUUUUUGUACUUAACACUUAAUUAACUUAAGUUUUCGACCAUCACAAUCAACCAAGAUUAUCGAACUUGAUAGUUUAGUAAACUUGUGAAAGGCUUGUAAACUCAACUUGUAGACUCGUAAGAGUCUUGUUCAUAUAAAAUAUUGACAAAAAAAUAUUUAUGAUACCAAUUUCACAUUAUUAAAAUAAAAAAAUUCAUACAACAACAAAUUUAUUAAGACUUUGACUUCUUUUGUUACUGAAACACAAGGUUCAAAAUCAUAUAUCUUCAAAAUCAUAUAUCUUCCCAACAAAAUGAUGUUUGAAUGUGAAAAAUGUCUCCAUUAAAUAAUAAUUAUAUUUCACUUUUUUAUUGUUAUCUAAAACAUAUCUUCGGUGUUUCCAUCCAAUUUACGCAACAUUUUUAUUUCUAGAUGGAAGUGAUAAAGAUGUACCGACACACACUACCAAUUGCAACCAUUUCCCAACAUAAUAAUUAUUUUAACUUUAUUUUUUAACCACACUAAAAAAGACAAAAUCUUGAUAAAAAAUUAAACUAAUUUUUAGAAUUAAGAUAAAAAAUUAUCUUGAUUUAAUCAUGAAUGUGCAUCACUUUUUUUAGAUUUUUUCUUUUUCAAUAAUUUUAUCUUCAUUCAUUAUAAUAUAAACACAAUCUCAAAAUUUUUUUUUGAACUUUCAACUAAAAAACUUUAGUUAUCUUUAAAGUAGACAUAAACAAAUAUAUGCACAUGCAAAAAUAACCCACUACUAUGGAUGACAAAGUCAGGCAGGUCAACUCAUUAAGAAAGAACGCAGCGGAUGUCCUAUUUCAACUUGGGCUGAUUCUCCCUACACCCAAUCAAAUUGGACCUGUACCCAAUUGCAUUUGUGAAAGUACCGAAAUACCCUUAAUGAAAAUGAAAUUAGGGUUUAGUGAUUUCUGCACCCAAUCACACACCCAAGUUCGUUUAUGCCAUCCUCAUACUCAACAUCAUCUCUCGCACGAGCGUCCGCAUCCUCGCACCUUGGUUGGCAUUUCUCUGGCAGUGUAGUGUUGAGUGGAAGGACCCCUUGAACAAAGACGAAGCUAGGAGCGCGAAGGUCGUCCAUUGUUGCGCGAAGGUUUUAGGGCAUCAUAUGCAUCAGCGCACCCUACAAGCUUUUUCAAAAUAAACAUGACAAUGGUACAAUUGGAUUUUAGAAUGUUUUUCGGGUGCCAAUCACAAUUGAUUGGGUGCAGGAAGAAAUUGCUUUCAACUUGUUGACUUGCUUAGGCUCACCUCGCAUAAUCCGCAGUCCGCACGGGCCAAGUACAAGACGGGACAGGCUAACUCACAACCAACAUAUUUUAAAAAAUUAGACAUUUUUUUGCACCCCAUAAUUUUUUUUUUUAGCCUCAUAAUCUCAAAAAAUUUAAACUAUUCAUUCUAAAUUUUAUAAUCAGUAAUACAAAUUUGUAUUAUAAAGUGUACAAUCUAGAAUGUUGUACAAUCUUAAACCAAAUUUUAACUCUUAGAUUCUAUAACCCUAGAAGUCUCUAAAUUUCACAUUCCGAAAUUAAAGAUAAAACAUUCAACAAAAAAUGUCAAAGGAUAAUUAUAAUAUUUUUUGAAGUAUGGGGUGUAGUAAGUAGGGGUGGCAAUGCGGGCUGGCUCGCCCCGCAUUUGAUUCCCAAUGAGUGCGAUUUCAUUUCAAUGACCACCCCGCAUAAGAGGUAACCGACGGGCCUGAGGGCCAAUCCGCAUAAGAAAAAUAUUUAUUUUCAAAAAUUAAAAUUUCAUCAAAUAUAAAAAAAUUUAUUCUUACUAUGGAAAAAUUACAAUUUUAUACAUGUUUCAAUUCGUUCAAUUAAGAUAAAGUUAUAAAUUCAAGUGUGAGGAUUGUUAGAAGGUUUGAUUAAAAUUAACUAAAGUUUUAUUUUUUGCAUAUAUUUUUCCUAUAUAUGUAUGUGAAUGUAUAAGAAUACCUUAUCAAAGUUUUGUUAUAAAAUAUUUUAAUGAAGAUGACUAAUUUUUUUAACUAUCCUAUUUAAAUCUCUUUUUUUAUAUUUUUUUUAUUAACAAAUUUAAAAUAUAAGAUUUACUUAAAAUCAAAUCCAAUGUCACUCUUCAUACUAACUCCAUGGCUCAACUAAAGACCUGGUCCUGGGUAACCUAUAAAAUUCAUUUUGCUUAUUUUUCCUUUUGUGACUGGUGUUUGGAUCCCUGUUUAAUUAAACAUAAGUGUUUUAUUUAGGUUGGUUAGACUCUAUUUGUUCUAGUAGGAAGUUAGUGAUAAACUUCCCAAAUGAGGGUUGUUAGUUUUUGUGUGAUUUUGUACAUGAGUUUGGAUCACUCAUAAAGUGGUUCUUAUUUAUUUAUUUUUAUUGUUGAUAAAAAAAAACUAACUCCUUUAAAUGAUUAAAAUAAAAUAUUUUUUUUAGUAGAUUAAAUUCAAUUUUUUAAAAUAAAAUAAAUAAAUGUUGCACUACAAGGGUGAAUGAGGUAUGAUUUUUUUUUACAAAAAAUAAAAUAAUAUUUUUUCAUUUAUACGGGUCAACCUGCCCCGCUCCGUUAUUGGUCCGCUCUGGGAGUUAUGCGGGGCAGGUCUAAGCAGGUCAGCAGGGUAGAUUAGUGAGCUCGCCCUGCGCCUUUUAGUAGCGGGUUGCGGGCUGACCCGCCCUACAUUGUCAUCCCUGGCAAUAAGAAAGACAUGGAGGUGCAGGAAGAAACUAUCCUCAAUCCCUAGUUCAUAACACCUUCAUGAAAUUUGAUAAUAGUCUUUUUUUCCUUUUUAAAAUGCAUAAAUUUUAUAGGUUUCAAUAUUCAUCAAAUGUUAAAUGCAUUAGUCAGAUUUUGGCCUUUUUAUAAUAAAAUUUAAAUAUAUAAUAAUAUUAUUAUAUAUAUAUAUAUAUAUUAUUUUUUAAAUUAAAAUAAUAAUCAUGUAUCUACAUGUAUUGUCUUUAAAAAUAUAUAUAUUUAAAGAAAUAUUUAUUAGUCAAUUUAUUAUAAUUUUUUUAUCCAUAUUUUAUUACAUAUGUCGUGAGAAUAAUAUUAUGAAACUAUUUACCUAAAUCAUCUAAAUAAGAAAAAAAUUAUUUUAAUAAACAAAACAAAAUUUUAUUCAAAAUUUAUAUUUAAUUUUUUUCAUUAAUUAAAAAAAAUCUUAUGUGGAUCGGCUUGUGGGUUAGCUAGCAUGCGAGGCGGGCCAAUAAAAGCAACCCGUAUAUUUUACGCGGUACGAACCAACGUAGCCUGCAUUUUGUGGGCCAAAUGCGAGGCAAACGGACCUGCAUUGCCAUCCAUACGCACUACCCUCAUGUUAUCCUAAGGUCGAACAACUCUGAUACCAUAAAUGUAACACCCCCAAUAUUUACUAUACACUUAUUACAAAGUUUAUUGUAAUAUAAUUUUAUUACAAUAAACGUAUUCAAGAACUACAUAAACCAUACAUGGAUUUAUAUAUCAAGGAUAUUUAAUCCAUUUCUGCUCAGGCUAAAAUAUUCCCGCUCAAGUUGACAAAAACUUCUUUCUUUUAUUUUAUUUUUCUUCUUGUCUCAUCAAUGAAUUGGAUUCUUUAGCAAAAAACUUUGCUUGAACAAAAAUAGUGCUAAAAACAAGUUUGAGUGCUUGGUUAUUUUCGCUUGAGCAAAAAUUGGCUUGCUUGAGAAAAAUAUCAAAAAAAUCAACUAUUACAAUAAUACAUAGUCAUUUUUAAAGUUGUACCUUAAAAGCAAUUCAAACUCAAACAUUAAAAAUAUGUUCAACAACACACAACAUCAAAUAGAACAUCAAGUGAUCACAUCACUCUUUAAUUUAGGUUAUUCUGCUAAGGCUCUACCAAAAAUAUAAUUAUUUUUUCUUAUGUGAAAUUCCUUAUUUCAAGAAAAAAAAUCUACCUCAAACAAAAGAACCACUCAAAAUUUAAAGCUCUAAAGCAAAAUAUCCAAACUUAAUUAAAUUUUAAUAUAAGGUUAAUCAAGUUGAUGAUCGCUUUUGACAACUAAUUUUACCAAGAUGGAUGACAAAAUUAGAAGAAAAUAAAAAAAAUAGAGAAUAUUUAGGAUAAAUAAGAACUUAUCCUGUUUUGAAAAUCUAAUUGGAUAAAAAUGAUUUCUAACUCUUUAGCUAUUGUAGGGUGUGAUGAAAAUUUGAAAUAAAUGAAGUGUAAAAAAAGAAAAGUAUAAAGAAAAGGAAAGAAGAAAGAAAAGAAAAAAAAAGAAUAUUAGGAUAUAAUUUCUUAUCUUCUCUUCCAUAUUUGAAGUGGAAUUAUCGUAUAUGAAAUGUUAAAAAAAUGACUACAUUUAUAUUUCUAUUAUGAAAUUGUUUUAUUUGAAAAUAUAUUUUCUUUUACUUACACUGAAUUAUAUUCUAAAUUAUAAUUGAAUUGUGUAUAUAUUUGUUAGUUGCAAUAAAUAAAAAAUAUUAUAAUAAAAGAGAUCAAACAUCUUAUUAAUUUUUAUGUAAUAGAAACUAUUCUCUUUGAAAAUAUGGAAAUAAGAAAGAAAGUGGAGGCAUGAAAGGGAUUUACUUACAAUUAUUCUCAACAACAAAAUAUUUUAUCAUUCAAAAAUUACAUUAUUUAGAAAAAAGAUUAGGAUAUAAUUUUUUUUAUAUUCUCUUUCAUUUAUGAGAUGAAGUGGAAUUAUCGUAUAUAAAAUCUUAAAAAGCUGACUAUAUUUAUAUUUUUAUCAAAUAAGAAUUAAAAAACAGACUUUCCUUAAAAAAUAUAUUUUUCUUUUACUGAAUUAUAUUCUAAAUUAUAAUUAAAUUGUGUAUAUAUUUUUGUAGUUGCAAUAAAUAAAAAAUAUUAUGAGUGUUGACUAAUAGAGAGAUAAAACAAAUUCUUAUUAAUUUUUAUAUUAAAUUGUCUUUUCUACACUCUAAGAAAAACAUACUUACUAAAGUAUGAAGUUAAAGUUGUUCUUAUUUCAUCUGUAUAAAUUUUUUGCCGACUAAAACUGUUUUGAACUUUCACUACAAUUUUGAAAUUUGGAUUUACAAUUAAUAAUAACAGAUGAAAAUUUAUUAAAAGAUCACCAUUAUUUAAAAAUAAAAAUUAUUUGUUUUAAAAUAUAAAAAAAUCGAUUGAACUUAUAAUAUAUAACUAUUUAUAUUAAAAGUUUUUUUUUUCUGUAAAUUAUUUUUAGAAAUUAUGCUAUUAAUUAUUGGUGAGAUCAUAGACUUUUUCCCUUAAAAAAAUCAAAAUAAAACAUUAAGUGUGGAUGACAAUAACUUUUGUACAGCUACAUUAUAUAAUAUUAAUAGCUUUCCUUGACAAUUUGAUUAUUACCCAUCGCAUAUAACUUUAGUUUUAUUAAUCAAACUAUUUAUUUAUGACUUAAUUUAAAUAAACAUUCUCAUGAAAAAAAAUUAAUAUUAAAGUUAUAGUAUCUAAAAUAAUGUUUAGAGAAUCACGGUCUAAAGAAAACUAUAUUUUCAAUUUUCUUUUACCAUGUCAAUCGAAUAAAUUAAUUAAUUAAGUCUUCUAUUAAACUAAUAAAAUUCUAUAUAGAAAAAUUAUAAAUUAUUUAUUUAAAAUUUACAUAUCUUCUCACAUUAAAAUAUGUGAACAAUUUAUUUUAUUAUAAUUGAUUCACAUAAGCUAAAUAAUAAUAAUAAAAGUUAAGAAAAAAUGUAACUAUAUUUAAAUUUCCAUACAUAAUAUACUAAUAAACUAUUUAUUAUAUUAUAUAUUUUCCCGUUAAGUGAGUUGGCGCCCAAAAUCCUCUCUCAAUAUAAAGACAGUAACAGUGAACUAAAGAAACACAACAGAACUAAAUUUCUAAUUUUCUCUCCCUUCGAUUACGAGUUCAAGCGACUCGAGAACAUUCGCCGCAACGUUGAGGUGAUGGCAGCGCUCAAACUCCAUUCUAAAGCCACCCACAACUCUCCAAAGGUACUCUUCUCUCUUCUGUAACUUACCAUUUUUUUGGAAAUCUCCAGAGUUUCUCCAGAGGUGAAACUGAAACCCCGAUUGAAAUAUUAUGUUUUGGUCAAUAUCCAAGAUCAGUUUUGUUGGUAUUGCUUUGGUGAUUUUGUUUUGUUGGUGUUGCUUUGGUUAUUGUCGUGAUUCUCUAUAAGGAUUUGUGGAAUUACAUGAUGUUUUCGUCAUGGGAUAGAAGAGUUAUUAAGAAUUAUUAGCAAGUGAUCAAUGUGCUUUUAUCGGAUUGUGAUUCAUUUACGCCGAAUGUGAUUCUUUGUGAUGAUGGCGAGUUUUAAAUCUUUUGAUCAAAUCUUUUUUGUCUAUGGAUGAAAUGAAAAACAUAAUAGUUCAGAAAGGCCAAUUGAUCCAAGUCUUCUUUUAAUCUCCUUUCUAUUAUUUAAUUUAUAUGGUAUUGAUCACCGAAAAUAAGGAUUGGAUUAUGAUUUGUUUAUUAGUGUUUAUCUGCAUCUGCAUCUUUAUCAUUUUUCUACACUUCUUUUUAGUAAGAGCUUAUUUCGUUUUCUUGAAUUUUUGGCUGUACAGCUAAUUCGUUUCUUGAAUUUUUGGGCUGUAUAGGGAAGGCACGCAAUGGAUGUGUGGUGUAGUGUAAGACAUGAUGUGAAGUAUUAUGUUUUGUUACCCUAAUUUCAGUCUGCUUGAUCUCCAAGGAUUGAAUGGUGUUCCAUGUUGAAUUUUUUCUACUUGAUUUCCAAGGAUUGAAUUGUGUUUGAUGUUUGAAUUAUUUUCACUUAAUGUCCUGCAGUAUCUCAUGGAGUAUGUUAUAUAAGGCCUAAGGGUUGAAUCAUCUUUUAAUUUCUUCUAUGUGUUGAACUGGAGUUGAUCACCGAACAUUAAGAUUUUAAUUGUGAUUUGUUUCUCUGCAGCAGGGUUUUGUUUAGUUUUGUGUGAUGACCUGUAUCUCAUCGUGCCUGUUAUGAGCAACUAAGGCUCCACCGGUUUUGAAUUCAUUAAUUUAUCUUAUCCUUUCUUAAAUUCUUCCCAUGAUGUGUCGAGCCUAUAAGUGGCUCCCUUGGUUUUGAAUUUGUGGCCUCCCUUGGUUUUGAAAUUUUGAAUUUACCUUAACCUUUCUAUACUAUGUCAUGUCAUCUCUUUAAAAGAGAAUAGUUUUCUCGAAUCUCCAUGAUUCUUGUUCAGCUUUUAUUGGAAGGCAAUAUAUAUGUGGGCAGGUUUCAGAAACAGUAAAUGGAGGUCGUGUGAAACUUUAGGUUUUUAUUAUCUUUGCGGUUAUUCUUUUGGCUAAACUUGUGGAGUGGGGUUCUUGUAGACAGGCACUAUAUGACUAUGAGAGGCUUUGACAUUUGUGUUUGUGUCUUCGACUUUGAUUAUCUUCUUCUACGUGUUGCAGUGUCUUUCUACAUGUUGCACUGACUUGCUAUGGAUGUCUGUUGGAUUGUGGAGACAAUUGCGGUAGAUUAUUGGACUUACUGUGAAGCUUUAGGUUUUAUUAUGUUUUCAUUCACUAUCUUAUGUGCUUGAUUUGAAAUGGCUGUAUUCUCUCUUAUUGGUUGAAUAGUAGGAAGCUACACGUGUCAGUCACUGUGUGUCUAAGCUAGGGCGAUUCUUAAUUAUGCUUAUCCUUUAUCUCAUGAUCCCAACUAUCUUCCAAAAUGAGAAUGUUCUCCAUAAUGACAGUAAUAUUUAGUUAUAUUUCCAAUAUGAGAAUGAAAAACUAUCUCUCAAAGCUAUGAGAGACCAAUUCCAAAAGGAAAGCUCCAACAUGAGAGCUCUAUUUACUUCUUUCGGGUUGGGGUCUCAGUAUUUGUGAUAGGAUAUGGAAGCAGACUGUAUCUUAUUUCUAACUAUAUUUCUCAAUCUUAGUCCCUUGCUGAUUUUGGUCUUUAUUAUUUAAUGUUUUUGGACUUGAUCACUUAACAUAUGGGCUGAAUUGUUGUUUAUCUACAAUAGUAUUUCAAAGUAUUUUUGUAAUCUUCUUCGUGCUCUUGGUUUUGAAUGGUGGCUUCCCUUGAUAUUUUAGAUUAGUGAAUUUAUCUUAUUGUUUCUUUACUUUGUCAUGUCAUCUUUUUAAGAAGAUUAGUUUUCUCAAAUCGCCAUGAGUCUUACUUGAGCUUUGUCACGAGUCUUAUUGAACUUUGCCACGAGAAUUCUUGAGCUUUGCAACGAGUAUUCUUGACCUUUUACAUGAAGGAUGCAACGGUCAGGUUUUGGAAAUAGUGGAUGGAGAUACAUUUAAACUUAGGUUUUAUUAUCUUUGCAUUUAUUAUGCUGAUAAAAAAACAUCUUUGCAUUCAUUAUUUUCUUUGUUGUUAUUCUUUUUGCUACUCUUGUGGAGUCGGAGUUCUUGUAAUUGGCCAUUUUACUUGUGUUGUAGUGAACUUUGAGCUUCGCCAUGAGUCUUCUUGACCUUUGCCAUGAGUCUUAUUGAGCUUUGCCACGUGUUUUCUUGAGCUUUGCCAUAAGACUUCUUGAGCUUUGCCAUGAGUCUUAUUGAGCUUUGCCACGUGUUUUCUUGUGCUUUGCCAUAAGACUUCUUGAGCUUUUCCAUGAGUCUUCUUGAGCUUUGCCAUGAGACUUCUUCAGCUUUGCCAUCAGUCUUCUUGUGCUUUGCCACGAGUUGUUCUUGUGCUUUGCCAUCAGGAGUCUUCUUGAGCUUUGCCAUGAGACUUAUUGAGCUUUGCCAUGAGUCUUCGUGAGCUGCCAUGAGUCUUCUUGAGCUUUGCCACGAGUCUUGUUGUGCUUUGCCAUGAGACUUCUUGAGCUUUGCCAUGAGUCUUGUUGUGCUUUGCCAUGAGACUUCUUGAUCUUUGCCAUGAGUCUUGUUCAGCUUUGCCACGAGUCUUCGUGAGCUUUGCCAUGAGUCUUCUUGAGCUUUGCCAUGAGUCUUCUUGUGCUUUGCCAUAAGUCUUCUUGAGCUUUGCCACGAAUCUUCUUGAGCUUUGAGCUUUGCCACGAAUCUUCUUGAGCUUUUACAUGAAGGAUGUAGGGUUCAGGUUUUGGAAACAGCGGAUGGAGUUACAGUUAAAGUUUAGGUUUUAUUAUCUUUGCAUUCAUUAUGCUGAUAAAAAAAAUCUUUGCAUUCAUUAUUUUCUUUGUUGUUAUUCUUUUUGCUACUCUUGUGGAGUGGGAGUUCUUGUAAUUGGGCCUUUGACUUUGAUGAUUUGAUUAUCUUCUAGUUGUGUUGUAGUGAACUUUGAGCUUUGCCAUGAGUCUUCUUGAGCUUUGCCAUGAGUCUUCUUGAGCUUUUCCAUGAGACUUGUUGAGCUUUGCCUUGAGACUUGAUGAGCUUUGC
RNAcentral lists this long non-coding RNA (59261 nucleotides) under Phaseolus vulgaris (common bean). RNAcentral's name for it is "long non-coding RNA (PVUL_LNC004095)". Lineage: Eukaryota; Viridiplantae; Streptophyta; Magnoliopsida; Fabales; Fabaceae. The record is from RNAcentral.